Molecule: long non-coding RNA, 67074 nt
Filed under: Cucumis sativus (cucumber)
Lineage: Eukaryota; Viridiplantae; Streptophyta; Magnoliopsida; Cucurbitales; Cucurbitaceae
Description: long non-coding RNA (CSAT_LNC000953)
Rfam family: tRNA (bases 54147-54220)
Source: RNAcentral
CAAUAAAUAUACUCCCACUUACAAAAUCUAAUAAAAAAAAUUAUUUUCUACUAGUUUAACCUUUUAUUUAAUGAAAAUAAAAAGCUCUUCAAGUAAACAUUCCAAUAUGAGAGUCAAGUAUACAUUCUAAUGGAAGCACCGAAAGUCUAAAGAUUCCACAAAUAAUUUGAAAGAAUAAUAAUCUUUCAAAACCAUUAUUCUUAGUAGAACAAAUUCCAAUUUUCUUAGCUUAUUGAGAGAUAAAAGUAAUUUCCAACAAAUUGGUAAGCCCAACCAUUUCCAAAGUUUUUCUUUUUAUAUAUAUAAAUAGUGGUUCAUCUUCUUCAUUUUCUAUCCCCAAACCAAGAAAACCUAACCUUGAGAACACACAAAGUGCCAUGGCAGCUCGUAAUAACGAUCUCGCUAGAAUUGGAUUGGAAGGCUUUAUCUUUAUAGAAGAACUCUACGACCGACCAAGGAGGAAGCCGAGGCAUGUUGCUCCAGCUCCCCCGCAACCAGUCGUAGCAAUUCAUCCUCCACAAAGGAAGGUCGAGUCAUCACCAUCUAUUCGUUGUGAUCAAUUGGCUAAAGCUCAUGGAGGAAUUAUCAUUAAAGAAUGGGGUGGAAAGCGAGUCAACAAAGUUGUCCAAAAAACAGAGAGACCAUAACCGUGAAGUUUGGAGUGAUAUGAGUGAUAUGGUAACUCUUUGUUUAAUCCAAAGUGUAUAUUAUAUAUGUAUGUACGUAUAUUUCCAUUUGGCCCUGUUGUUCUAGUUUCAAUGUUUGUGUGAAGCAAGCUUGUAAAACUUAUAAUGGCUCUGCUUGUAAUACAAAGUUAUCAACUAAGAAACAAACUUUGCUAUGCCUAUUUGCAACUUUUCAUUGUAUGUUUCUUUGAAGUCUAAUUGACAAGCAGAGUUGGAAACGAAUGAAAGAGGGAUCAUUUUUCAAUUUUCAAGUAUUUCAGGAUUCUUAACUUUCAAUUAAUUUUACUCUCAAUUACUUUUAACAUUCAAAAUUAUAAUUCGAACAAACCCAAUUUCAAAUAUGAAAAAAAAAAGUUAAAAUUAUUCCCAAAAUCUAUCCAAUUCUCCAUGUUUUAGUUUUUUUUAGUAUAUUUUAUAAAUAUUUUCAAUUUUUUUCUAUCCAUACAAAAUUUUCUCCAUACAAAUGUAUUAUUAUCGCAAAAUACUAAUUUAAAUGGUUAUAUUUAAAGGACAAUAAUAUUUAUCUCAUUCUACUAGGUUAGUAGGAAUUUCUUAUUACUUAGUAGAAGUUCUUUGACCAUUGAGAGUCAAAAGAAGGCGAACGAAAAAAAAAAUCUUUAUGUAUGUAUAUAGUUUGGACUUAGCUUAGUUUGGACUUAGCUUAGCGACAAUUCAUAAGCAGAUGUGUGGUUCUUCUCUAUUGCAGCGCAAUGAAUAAACUUUUUAAAAAUAUGUUAACUCAAAAAAAAAAAAAAAAAAACCAUACCUACAUGUACAUAUUAUAAUAUCAACUUUAUUUAAAAUUGUUUUAAGAAGAAGUUCUCCCACAUAUAUUUUCAUUAAAUUCUUUUAUUUUUGUAAAUAUUUGGUAAAAUUUGUUAUUUUUUAAAAUUUCUCUAAAUUUAAUCAUUCUAGUAGUAAGUUAAUAUUUCUAAUAAUUUUUUCUAUAAAAAAACAAAAAAAAAUUAAACAAAUAGACAAAAAUAGUGAAAACUAUAAUUUCCUAAAAAAAAUUAAAUUGAACUAAAUUAGGUCUAAAAAAUGUAAAAAACCUAACUCAUAAACAAAUAACCAUAGUUUAGUUUACAAAUAAACUAAACUACGUAUAUAUAUUAAGGGGAUAUAAACUAAUGUGAAAUAAAUUAGUUAAUUGGUAUCUGGUGAGGCGAGUUCUUCUCUGAACCCACACAAUAUUGGGUUAACAAUCAACAAAAGAAAUGUCUCUAAAAGAACCAAUCUUUUUAUAGAAGAGUUGGUAGAGAAAAACUUGCCUUAUUCUUCACAAAAACACAUUUUGUUUAUCCCCAAAUUUAAAGGAAUGCCACCAAUUUUAAUUUAAUUCUAUACACAUUCUUUGUGCUUUCAAUUCUUUUUCUCCCCUUUAAAAGAGCCUACAAAUCCACCAAACCUCAUAAAUCCACACUUCAUCAUUUCUCCUUUUACUUCCCUGGCCUCCCCUUGGAGGCUUUGUUUCUAAUUUAUCUCAAUAAACCAACCCCAUUAAUUAAUUUCUUUCUUUUUCUUUUCAUCUCUUAUAAAUUUCAAUGAGUUCUGUUUUCAAACAACUUAUUCUUCUUACCUUGCUAUUAGUAGCAUUGGUUGCUGUUGACGCCAAGUUGCUCGCCGGGCCGAUCUCGCCGGACCCCUUUCUAAAUGUCAAUUUAGGGAAGGACAUUAAACAUAGAAAGGAAACAGUGUUUAAUGUGCUGAGUUUUGGUGCCAAACCUGAUGGCAAAACAGACAACAGUGAGGUGAUUGAUUAUUCAGAAUGUUUUUGCUGUUGUUUUUAUGAACUAAUGAUUUUUUUUGUUGUUUUUGUAGAGUUUUAUGAAGACAUGGGUAGCAGCAUGUCACUCCAAGGGAGCUGCAAGAGUUGUUAUUCCUCGUGGUACUUUUUUGAUCAAUCAAAUUGCAUUUGCUGGGCCAUGUGCUUCUACAAGUCCUAUCAUCGUUCAAAUUGAUGCAACGUUGAAAGGAGGCGUCGACAUUAGCAAUUACUUCUCGGAUGAAUGGAUAUUGUUUGAGAAGAUCAAUGGUUUGAUUGUCACUGGCAGAGGUGCUUUAGAUGGACAAGGUAGUGCUGUUUGGGAAUACAAUGAUUGUGGUAUGAAUCCUAAUUGCCAGAAACUCCCUGUUGUAAGUACUUACCCUUUCAUCACAUUAAUGAUUUUUCGGGUGGUUUUUUAUUUAUUUAUUUUUUUGCCACGAUAUGGUUGUCUCUUUAACAUCGGCUGGAUGUGAAUACGAAGUUACUAUAUCAGUUUGUAUCUUUUAUAUCCAACCGUAUAAAGCUGACAGUCACAUUAUGGUUCCUAUAAUUUGUUUCCAACUUCGAGUUCACGUUCUUUUUUUUCCUUCUCAUAGAAUUUAAAACUCAAUAACAUCACACAUGGGCUUGUGAAAGGCAUUAGUUCCGUCAACAGCAAAGGGUUUCAUAUGUUCGUCACGAACUGUGAGAAUGUUAGGCUAAGAAAACUGCACUUAACAGCCCCAGAAGACAGUCCAAACACUGAUGGCAUACAUCUCAGCCGCUCCAACAAUAUCAAAAUAUCGAGAUCUGUCAUUGCCACCGGUGACGAUUGCAUCUCUCUCGGUCGAGGAUCAAUGAAUGUCGCCAUCAACAAAAUCACCUGCGGUCCAGGACACGGUAUCAGGUAACUCCCACAUCUCAAAAACUUGUUCAGCUACGGAAAUGCUUCUGCUUUCUGCUUUUGCCCUGUUUAAUUUAUGGUGUCUACUAUGGCAGUGUGGGUAGCCUCGGAAAGUACCCAAACGAGGAGGACGUACGCGGUAUUGUCGUGAAGAACUGCACAUUACUAAGCACGGACAAUGGACUUAGAAUCAAAACAUGGCCAGAUUCACCCCCAAGUGCUGCAUCAGGCAUACUAUUCCAAGACAUCAAUAUGGUCAAUGUCAAGAAUCCCAUCCUCAUAGACCAAGAAUACAGCUGCUCAAAAACCAAUUGCCAAAGACCGGUUCGUUUUUGUUUUUCGUCUUCGAUUUCUGAAUAUAUAUAUAUAUUUCCCAACUCAUUAUGUACUAACUAACGUAAUGUUGUUGUUUAACCGUUUACUCAACACAGCCAUCACGAGUGAAAAUCAGUGAUGUUCAUUACAUAAAUGUGAAAGGAUCAUCAAUCUCUCCAGUAGCAGUUCAACUGAAGUGCAGUAAGCAAUUCCCUUGUCAAAACAUCGAGAUGUUUAAUAUAAAUUUGAAAUAUAGUGGCCCUCCAAAUAAAGAAUUACCAUUUAGUGCUAAAUGUAGCAAUGCAAAAGUAGGUUACAGAGGCCUUCAAUUUCCACCUCCUUGCAAAUGAUCAUCAUCUUCAAGCUGCAGCUGAAGUUUGUUUGUUUUUUUUUGAUAAUUUUUUUUCUUUUUUUUUUUUUUUGGGUCCUUUUUAUGUAUCGAUGAAGCUUAAUCUGUAACCUUGCAAGAUUCAUGAAGCAUGUUACAAUGGUUUGAUGCUUCUCAAUUUAAUUUAAAUGCAAAAAAAUAUUUUGAAAAUCAUCUCUCUUUUGAAGUAUAUUAAUUAAUUUUAUUGUUUCUUAUACUGAAUAAUCUACAAAACCAAAAGUUGUAUUUGCGUAUCUGUUAGUUUUUAUUGUUAUAUUGUCGUCAUUACUUUGAUUUUAAACACAGAUAUAAAAAAUAUGUAGUGAAGUUAUGUGUUUGUUUCUAAUUUAUACUACACUAUUAACUCUAUUGAUAUGCCAUCAACUUUAUUAUAAUUUAAAUUCAAUAAAAAUACAAUUUAAAACGUGAUUAUAGAAUCGUGAAACAACUAUAAAAAGUUUCUUAGUUCAAGAAAUCGUUAAAAGACAUGGUGCAAAAAUCACUUUGUGGAAACAAUUAUACUAUCAAACUUUUAUUGUAAAAAUUAAGUCUUCGAAGUUAUACAAGUGUUUGAAAAAGUGAAACUCUUACCGUCUUACGAAUGUAAAAGAAUAUGCCUCUUCUUUUUUUCUUUUUCCGAAACUGAAAAUUUUUAAUUAACAAAGUUUAUGACAAUUUUUGCGAUAUCAAUUUAGGAAGAUGAUUAACGAUCUAAAUAAUUAAGAAGUUUUUGCAAAAAUAAAAAAAAAAUAACAAACCAUUUAUCAUUUAUAAAAUAAAGAGUAGUUAUAAUUCGUUGCAAUUUUAAGAAUAUUUAUUAAAUAUAUAAUAAUAUUUUUUUAAAUUACAAAUAUUACAUAAUUUAUCGGGAUAGAUUUUUAUUGCUGGUAGAUACAGUCUACCGAUAAAUAUUUGCAACACUUCUAUCAUUUAUUCAUUUAUAGACUUUAACAUAUUUUGUUAUAUUUGUAACUUUUAAAAAUAUUACUAUUUUCUUAAUUAUUUUGAAUAUAAUUGUGAUAUUUAGAAAGACAAAAUUUAUUAAACUUGAUAUUAUUCAUACGUUAUUAUAUGAAGUGUAAAUAUUUUAUUAUUGUAUGAAGUGUAAAUAUUUUGUAAAAUAUUUUAUAAGUAUAAAAAAAGUAAAGAGACAUUUUAAACUAUAGGUUAGUGAACCAAAAUACUAACGAAGUAUUAGACUUGUAGAAUCUAAUAAUUUUUUUUUUUUUGUAUAUACAUAGCAUAUUUGCUAUUUUCAAUAAUUUUUCAAAAGUAAAGAGGUUUUCAUUUUUUUUUAUUUUUUUGAAAAAAGAGGAGGUUUUUUGUAUAUGAAAUUUAUGACAAUUUCUGAAUGUUUUCAAAUUUUCACAUUGAUUAUAACAGAAAUUUUGAGGAACUAAAUUAUACCACAUUAUAAUUGAGUCUCUCCCAAAUGAUCAUUCCCUUCUUUCUUCCCCUUUACAAGAAAUCCCCACGUUUAUGGUAUAACAAAAAUUAUACAUAAUGUACGUCUAGUUUUCUUUAAAUAUCGGAUUAGAGGAUAUAAAUUAUGAUUCCCAAACACAAUUUUAAUCCAUUGUCUAAAUUGUUUUUUCUAUAAACAAUGAAAUGUAUUGAAAUAUAAAUUUUAAUACAAUUAUAAAAAUUUAAACAAUUACAUUUGUAAUGGUUGAAAAGUUCAUAAAUUGGAAGAAACUUAAAAAUAAACGAAUUUGAGUCAAAAAUAAAUAAUGGAGAGAUUGUACUAAAAAUUAAAGUCAAAUAUGUAAGGAAAACGGCUCAAAAAAACUCAAUUAAAGAGAUUAAAAACGAAAAAUUAAAUUAAAUACGACCUUAAUUGAAUUAGUUAUGAUAAAUCGAGGAAGGAAAAAAAGACAGACCUAACUCCAAUUAAUUAAUCGUACUUACUUCAGUUAAAAUAAUUAACCCCCAAAUUCAUGAAAUUAUAAAUUGUCAAUCUACGCCAUUUUAGUGCAGUCGAGAAUUUCAUUAACGUCAUGAAGCUAAUUUCAUCACUUUCAUUAUUCUCUUCUCUUCUGGCCAUUACUUUAUCUGCCGCCGAUGGAUUUGAUAUAGCUCUUCCGCCGUCCUACCCGGCGGAGCCCCCCGUGGGAGAUCCUUGGAGUGGAUUGCGUGUUUUUGAUGUAAAUGAUUAUGGGGGAGUUGCUGAUGGGAAGACGAACAACAGCUUGGUAAUUUCGUUUCCUCUCGGCUCUCUUUUUUUUCUUUUAAAUUAUGGUGAUUAAUUUAUGAACAAUUUCUAUUUACCUUUUUUGGAAAGUACUAUUCCAAAUGAGUUAUUUGAACUAAAAUAUUUAUAAAAUAUAUCUCCAAAACUUCUAUAUUAUCUAUAUCUUAAUAGACACAAAUUUUGUUAUUAAUUUAUUUAUAAAUGUGUGAGAAAUUUUGUUAUUUAGAAUAAACUUCAUUUGAAAAUUGAAAAAUAUUAGUAUUUUAUUUCUAAUUAAGAGUGGAGUUUCAACUUGCAAUCUUUAAGUUAAUUGAACCAAAUAAGUUUGACUUUAGAAGUAACGUAGAAAACUGAUUGUGGGAUUAAGGAAUAAAUUGUACCAAACUAAUUAAUGUAUAAGUCAAAAGUGUCCCUAAAAAAUCUAAAAUGAAACAAGAAUUAAGUUAAAAAGAUCAAGUAAAAAUUUGAAAUAAAAGAUUGUUAUUAGAAAAAAAUAAUUAUAAAAAAUAGAGAGAAAAUUAAAUUUUAAAAACUAAAAAAAAUAAAUAAAAUAGUUAGAAUAGGGAUAACUGCUAAGGACUAUAUUAAUGUAGUUAUUAUGUUUAUAAAUAGAUAUAUUUAAAGGGAAAAAAGAGUUAGAAAUAACCCAUCAACUUGUGAUUGAAAUAUAUAUGAAUAUAAUUAAAUUUGAUUGAUGAACACAAGUUAUAUACAAAAAGUAAUGAAAUUGAAAGUUGAUAGGCAUUGAUGGCGGCGUGGGAAGAUGCAUGUUAUCACCAAGGAGGGUCGAUGCUGUUAAUACCGGAGGGGAAUUACUUCGUUGACCAAGUUACAUUUUCAGGGCCAUGUUUCAAUGACCUCUCUCCUAAAGUCCUCAUUUUAGGCACUUUGAUUGCUCCCACCAAUCUCACCGCCGACGUUUGGAUCCACUUCGAUUCCCUCCGCCGCCUCUCCCUCACUGCCGGCCACUUAUCCACCCUCGACGGCCGGGGCGCCCAAACCUGGUCCUCCGGUUCCCGCUGUCGUCAUGCAAUGACUUGUGCCAUGUUUGCCAUUGUAAGUGUGUGUGUAAACAUUGCUAUUAAAAAAUUAUGUACUAAUUAAUACACAACUCAAAUUUUAAGUGUUCAUAACGGUGCAGUCUUUGAAGCUAAGCAAUGUGUUGAAUGGGACAGUGAGUAGUAUAAACCUAGUGGACAGCAAGGCGUUUCAUGUCUCCAUCCAUCAGUGUGACAAUAUUCAUCUUUCUGGAUUCAAUAUCACAGCUCCUUGGUAUAGUCAAAACACUGAUGGAUUCCAUAUCAGCCAAUCUACCAACAUCAGCAUCACAAACUCAAAAAUCGGUGUUGGUGAUGAUUGUGUUUCCAUUGGACCUGGUAGCGUGAACGUGUUGGUUUCUAAUGUUACAUGUGGCCCAGGACAUGGAAUCAGGUAUAUAUAUACCUAUUAAAUGUAAGAGUAGAAGUUUUUAAAAUUAUUGAAAUUUGAAAGUAUUAUAUAUUCAUGUAAUGCAGUAUCGGGAGUUUAGGGAGGUACAAAAUGGAGAAUGAUGUGAGAGGAAUAUGGGUGGAGAAUUGUACCAUAAGUGGGACUCAAAAUGGAGUGAGGGUAAAAACAUGGCCAGGAGAUCAUGCUAGCAAUGCUACCAAUUUGACAUUUCAAAACAUUGUGAUGAUCAAUGUCUCAAAUCCCAUUAUCAUAGAUCAACAAUAUUGUCCUAACAGUUCUUGUGACUCACGAGAGGUAGAUAGUUAUAUAAUUUGUAUUUAUCUCACUACUUUAAACUACUACUUAUACAUAUACUCCCGAUUCAAUUUUGAAUUUAAUUAUGUAAACAGUUUUCAAAAUUGUCUCAAGUACCUAAUCACGUUUGUUAGUCUUUACUACUUCUAUUGCUGAGUUUUUUUUUUUUUAUUUAUUUAUUAUUAUUACUAUUACAUUUUUAUAAUAUUUUUAAAAGUCAUAUCCAAGUUUUUUUCUUCUUAUUUACUAAAAAUUUAAAUAUAUUUUUAAAAUAGAUGAAAACUAUGAUAAAUAAAUGGAAAGAAUAUAGUCAUCAAUUUGGUAGACUGAAAAUUUAAAACAAAAAUGUUAACAAAUAAAGCCUUAAUUUGUGAAAUGUUCCUUUGGAUAAUUUAUCCUAAAUUAUGAGCAUGUUAGGUUAGUAAUUUGAUAAAAAGUAAAACAUCUUAAAAAUAAAUAAAUACUUUUUAUUGCUUUAAACAUUUAAAAAUGGUAACAAACAAUGAACAAGUUAAAAAUGUUUAAAACUGUAGUUCACACGAUAAAAAGUUAAAAAGUCAUUAUAGAAAAACAAUUGAAGAAUUUGAUUAUUAAGAAAGAAUAAAUGAAAACAACAUUUUUGGGAAAACAUUAUGAAGGGUAUGUUUUUUUCUUCAAAACUACUUACAAACUCUCUCUUGUUUAUUUGAUGAACAGUCAUCAAGUGUGAAGCUGAGUGAUAUCAACAUAAGAAAUAUAAGUGGAACUUACAACUCUGAGUUUGCAAUUAACAUGAAGUGCAGCUCAACCAAGGCAUGUGAGAACAUUCGUCUUUCUUACAUUAAUCUCACUUCCAUUAAUCACCAAUCGGAUGAUGAUGAAGAUGAAGAAGAAGGUGAUGUAACUGGCAACUUCAAUUUCAAGGGUGCUCUCAAUUCUUUCACCAUUUUUAAUUCAACAUUUUAGCCUUCAUUCACUCAAUUACAUUACCCAUUACCAUUAGGGGCUUAUUCAAUUAUUUUCAUCUAAUUAUAACCCCUCCAAACCAAGUUAAGGUGAGUUAAGGUUACAUUUUUGGCUAUAUUUUGUAUUAUAUUAUUGUAUUUCCAAAAAUGUUAAAUUUGCAUGAAAUACAAAAUGAGAUUAUAAGAGGAAUAAGAGCUAUGAGUCUUUCAGUUUUAUCUUCUUCCUCUCUAAUUUUGUCGAAUUUAUGUAAUUUAUAAUUGAUUCUCUAAUUAAAAUCAAGGUAUUGCGUCAACGUUCAAACUAUUGAUGAUGUUAAAUAAAAUAAUUUAUUGUCUUUAGAUUAGGCUUCACUAAUAUACAUGGUCAAAAGUAACCACUAUGAUUUUGUUGUGCAAUUAGUUUAUGAAAGCAACGAUGUAAAGUAGUUGUUAGGUUGAGAAAUUGAAUUGAAAAUCUUGAAAAUAUAUAUUUUAUGGAAGCGAAAAUUGAAAAUCUACCGUUUGCAUUCAAUAGGUAUGGUAAUUAAACCAUUCUCCAUAUUUUUGGUAUGGUAAAUUAUACUAAAAGUAUGUUUGAAAAGGGUAACAAUUAAUACACUAUUGAAAGAAUUAAAAGUUAUAAAAAAAAAAUAGAAAAAGAAAUAGAUAAAUAAGAAGAGAAAGUAAAAGUGAAAAAUAUGAGACGAAUAAAAGAGAGAAAUGAAUGAUACAUUUAAUUGAAAAUGACAAAAAUAAAAUAUUAUUGAUAGCUAAGUAAUAAAUAUUUCAAUUACAAAAAUUAUGCUUUUUAAUAAAAGAAAAAGGAACUAAUAAAAUAUUAUUUUAGGUUAUUUACCUAAAAGAAAAAAAAGAAAGAAAAAAGAACCGAUGAACUAAAUAUUGACCGGCAGGGAGUCAAGGUCGGUAAAGCUUGAAAGCACCAGAGAGAGCUCAGAUUCACGAGAGUCUCUUUGGAGCAACCCUGCUUUGCGCUGCCGUCGUCGGAUCUAUCAUCUCCUCUCCUUUUCCGGUUUAGGUACGUUUUUUAAAAGGGUAGAUCCCUUUUUAAUUUUUGAUUUUAUUCUUUAUCUGGGGAUUUCAAUUCAACAAGCCAUGAAUUCUAAUUUCGGGAAGAAUUUCGACUUUGAUCUGGGACUCGGAUCUUCUGGCUCCAAAUCACUCAACGAUCAGAAAAACAAAACCCCAUCCUAUUCAUCUUACACUCCCUCUGCUUCCUCCUACUCUUCUACCCCCACGAGGCCCGCCUGGCAGCCUAACAAGCCCUCCUGGACGCAUCAGCCCGCCAUGAAUCAGGCUGCUCGUCCUAACUUGUCCAAUUCCCCUGCUUCCAUGGUUGGUGAUAUAUUUGGGAAGACCUGGGGUUCCAAGGCAACUUCCGCUUCCACGACGGGUAUUGGAAUUGCUGAAAAGAAUCCGAAUCUGUUCGGCGAUUUGGUCGGUUCUGCCUUGGGAUCGGGUAAGAGCAAUUCUAAUACUCCAUUGAAGAAUGUGGGUCCGGCUUCGGUGUCUUCCGGUGCCGCAUUGAAUAGAAAUUCGUUUUCGAUGGGAAAUAUGAACGAUUCCUUGCCUAAAUCCAGUAGUAAUCCGAGUAAAAAUAGUGGAAAUUGGAGUUUUGAGAAUCUUAGCAAUUACAAUAACGGGAAAAGUAAUCAGAGUAAUACCACCAAUAUCAAGACUCCCAAUCUCGGAGGUCCAAGCAUGAGUUCAACCAUCGGCGGUGGUAAGACAAGCUCUACCAAAGAUCCCUUUGGUUCUUUAGUUGACUUUGGAUCUAAAUCAUCUGGGAAUCUGAAUUCAACUACUAAGAAUCAAAAUAUCAAAUCAAGCGAGGACUCAUUUGGGGAUUUCCAGAAUGCUUCUAAUCCAAGCGCUACGACAUUUCCUUCAAGCAGAUCAAGCACCAAUGGAGUUGAUUUCAAGGGAUCGAGUUUUAAUUCUGGCAUAAACAUGGGUGAUUUUGGAAUGCCUACCAAUUUUCAUUCCAAGGUUCAAGAUACUGUUCAGACCACAGCCAGUGAUCCACUUGAUAUGUUGUUUAGCUCAUCCAAAGCCCCAGCUGAAGGUCCUCCCUUGGCAUCUGGCACACCUGGAGCAUCCCAAUCAUUGGAUGCCGAUGAUUGGGGAUUGGAUUCGGACUUUGGGGGAGGUGGUCAUGACGUGGGUGGUUCAACAACUGAGAUUGAAGGACUUCCACCACCUCCCGCAGGGGUGACAGCUUCUUCUGCAAAGAACAAGGGAGUUGAUGUCUACAGGCAGGGGCAAUAUGCCGAUGCUAUUAAGUGGCUUUCUUGGGCUGUCAUUCUUUUUGAGAAAACUGGUAACAGUGCUGCCAUAGUUGAAGUUUUGUCGACCCGAGCUUCGUGCUACAAAGAAGUUGGGGAAUAUAAGAAAGCUGUGGUUGAUUGUACAAUGGUAAAAAAUUCAAAUUCUCUUGUAAUUAAAUAUUUGCUAAUGCACCCUUUGUCUCACUCCUCUUAGGUCCAGGUACCAUAUUAGCUUUGAAAUCUAUUAACUUGGGAACUAUGUUUGUAUCAACAAACUUGAAUUCAUGGUCCAAAUAAUAGUAGCAUUAGGUGGUAGGAAGUUUGGAGUAGUCCUUUGUUUGCUUGCAGCAAUCAUGACUUGGUUCUUAUAAAAGGGGGAAAAAUGUAACAGGUUUUUCUUUGGUGGGUCUCGGUAUUCAUUGGUGUUAGCAACCAUGUUGUGACUCAAGUUUUCACUUUUGUAGAGAUUGUUUGAUGGAGGAAGGGGGAAAAACUGGGUGCUGAUGUUUUAUAGCAUGGUUAGCUGACUGGAGUAGUUAGCAAAUAACUCUUAGAUUAUUGGUGUCCAUUGUUUGGUUUUUCCUUUAGAUAAAAUUAUUCUACCUAGUCUCAUGUCCUCUGUCAUUCCACCCACCCCCUAAAGAGGGAAAUAUUUGUAACUGUAGAGCACUUGUAGGAAGCCUUAUCCUGCUGUGCUGUGCAGGUAUUGGAUCAGGACGAUGCAAAUGUUGCUGUUCUCGUUCAGCGUGCACUUCUAUAUGAAAGUAUGGAGAAGUACAAACUUGGAGCCGAAGACCUGAGGGCUGUCCUGAAGAUCGAUCCAGGUAACAGAGUUGCAAGAAGCACAAUUCACCGGUUGACUAAGAUGGCAGAGUAAAGGUUCUUAUCACAAUUUUGUCUGAUGAAAUUUCUUGAAUAUAGAAUCACACUGGUUUCUCUCAUGCUAUCUAAAUGUGGUGGUGGAAUGACCAUUUUUUGAUUACAUGGUUUUGUUUUGUAUGUGUGCCCCCGUCCCUUGUGAUGCUUUCAAAAUACAUUACGUACUUGUAUUGUUUAUGACACAAAGAAAAAAAAAUCUGUGUUCUUGUACGAUGGCCAUGAAAAUUCAAUAUAUUCAAUUGCUUUUCAUAUCCUUUUUGCUGUUGUUUGAAUUGGGCCGCUUUAGAUGGCUGUUAACAUCAGAUAAAAAGAGAGUUAUGUUAGUAAUGAAAACAUGUUCAAAUUUUAACACAAUUUUAGGAUUCUUUGAUUAAUUGAGCUAUAACAGGACUUGGAUACUAUUUGGUUAAUAGAGUUUAUGAUGCUGUUUAGGAGAUUUGAUCUUGGUGGUUGGUAGCUUGGUGGUCAUUGGAGGUCUUCAAUGAACAAGAACUAUUGAGGAUCUAAAAUCUGAAACAAAGACUUUUAUCAACUGCAAGACCAAAUCUCCCAAACAAGGUUAUAACUACAUUAACCUUAACCCAUCAAAUAGUCAGGUUUUCUUUUCAUGUAUAAUGUAUAUGGGGAUACAUAAGAUGGCUAAUGGCUUUAUGCUCUUAUUUUAAACAAAGGCAUCAGCCAUCUUAUUUAAUUUAUUCAAGGAAAAGAAAAAACAAAGUGAGGAGAAUGGAUUCUUCUUUAGUCUAUUCCAGCCAAGGUUCUCCUUUGAUAGAAGGAAUAUUGUUUCUUUUGAUUCAAGUGAAGGACAUUUCACUUGAACUUGAAUUUUUUGAGGUAUUUUUUGAGAUAGAGGUGGAAACUAAGGAUUUGGUUAGGACAUCAAAUUGUGUUUCUUAUUGCUUUUUCUUUCUCUUGGUUGUCGAUUUCUAUAGCACAAGUAUUUUAACUUUACUUUUUGUUAGCAAGGGUCUAUUAUUGAGGACUGGCAUUGAUAUAUAAUGGAUACAUAGAUCUAAAUUUUUUUUAAAAAGUUCCUCAACAACUUAUAUGACUUAUUAAAACAGUUAAGAGUUCAUAUUUGAAAUCUUAUAAAUGAUGAUAUCUAAAUCUUUUACUAAUAUAUAGUUGUAGUUCAUGCUUAAUUGAUAACAACAUUCUGGGUUGGAAGGCGUCAUUGCAAACAGUAAUAUUUGUGAUAAUCAAAGUACAGUCUACCUCUCAAAUUCUAACAAAACAUAUCAGACAUCAAAUAUCAAUUUUGUUCCAGAAUAAAUAGAGAACGAAGAAAUUGAAGUGCUGAAGAUCCUUCUUUUGUGUUUUCUAAAAUUUGAAGAGAAAAAAAAAAGGGAAAUAGAAGGAAGAUAUUUUAUCCAUAACAAACACCCAUAGUUGAAAUUACACAAAAUUUUCUCCCUUCUUUUCAAUUACAAUACCACUUUCUCAAACUCUUUUAUCAAUUUUUUUAUUCGUUAAUAUCGAUAUAUCUUCUAUGUUUCUAAAAUAUAAAAAUAAACAUAGUUAAAUUGACAUAUAUACAUAUUAAUGAAUAACAACCAAGAAAGCACAAAGCAUUCAGAAAAUAAGGGCCGAAAUGAGUAAAGGGACUGUGGUAAAGUUGUAAUUAGGGACCAAAAAUAGAGGAAAUUUGGGGGUUAUCCUUUGCAUCAUAGCAUUUAAAUUUGCGUUACAAUUCUUAAUUGUAUAUACAAAUUAAUUAAAUUAAUCAAACAUCAAUUAAAGCGUUACCCCUUACUUAAAAAUAAAUAAAUCAGUUCCAUAAAUAGAACGUUACCCUUAAUUAUGGAAUAAAGUGAAAACUGGACAAUCGUUCGGCCCAUGGGCUCCGCCCAAUACAUCCCACCGAAGGGGGAAAAAAAAUUCCUUUUUAAUAGCUUCAAAAUAAAUAAAACUUUUACUUCUCUCAACUCUUACUUUAAGUUCGAAUAAGUUUUCAAAAAUUUUAACCUUAAACGUUAAACAUAUUGUAAUAUUAACUUCCCGUUCCGUAGUUUAAAAAAAAAGUAAAAAAAUUUGGAGCACGAAUUUCUUCAAGAAUGAUUUUAAUUACGUUUGAACUAAUUUCAAUUGAGUAGAUUUUAAAAAAUGAUUUAAUAGUUAAUUUGUGUUGUUGAUCAUAAUUGAUAUUCAAUUAAACCGUGAUCGAAUCAACCAAUUAGUCGAUCCAGUAAAAGUUCAAACUGACUCUACCCAUUAUAUGAGUAUAAACCGUCUAGUUUGAAUCAGUUUAAAUCUUUAAAAUUAUUUUUAAAAAAUGUUCUCUGACGAAUACCAACUGAUUGCUUUUGAUUCUAUUGGUUUUGGUUGGUUGGAUCAGUUUAUCAUACUCACUUUUAUGUCGUCAACAACAAAACUUUAUUUUAUACUACAUUUUAAUAGAUGCUUUUUUCAUAUAAACGUAGGAUGUAUGCAAACUAUUUUGGCUUUUUGAUUGAGUACUUAGAUAUUUUAUAUCAAUUGAGUUAUAUUUACGUUGACACGAAGUUACACAAUUAAUGUGAACUUGAAACAAAUAAUUUUCAGUUGAAGAGAUGACUUUAUUGAAAAAUGUUACAAAGACCGAAUGAGAUAAAGAGCAAAGGUAAGCAGGAAAUAGGGAAAAAAGAAGGAUGGAAAGAAAGGACAAAUGUAAAUUAAAGGAAGGAAGAAUGAUCGUGAAUAAAGGAUCAAAUGAAACGGCAAUUAAACAGAGUAAUUUAGGAUAUAAGGACGUGAGAAGAACAUGAAUUACCAAGCAAAUGAAAGUUACUAAUGAUCAAGAUGAAAUUUCCAAUAAUUUACAAUUUGAACCAAUAUACUUAAUUACUUAGUAUAUAUAUCUUUUGUUAAGUGGUUAGAUAUUUAUACCCAUAUUUAUUUUCUGACUAUCAAAUAUUCUUCACAUUUUUAUCCAAUAUUGUUGAAUUAAAUAACAACAACAAAAAUACAAAAAAAAAGUAGUUAAUAUAUGUUCUUAAAACUUCACUAAAUCAAUUCUAAACUUCAUUAUAUUUUUCAAUAUUUAAGAAAUUUGUUCUUUCAAACAUUGAUUUUCAAUCAUUUAUUUGAAUGACUAAAUAAAAAUUUAAAUUAAAUACUAAAGCUGAUGAAAAAAAUAAUAAAACUCAAUUAAUUAUAACUUUUUAAAUUAAUUAAUAAACACUAAUAUCAAAAAAAUGAAUAUUUAGCAUAUUUUAUGUCAAAGGACAAUAAUGUUUUUUUUUUUUUAAUUCAAUAAAGAUAAAAAAUUAGAAAAAGAAAAGGGAAAAAAAAACGGACAAAUUUUAAAAAUAAAGAAAGAAAAGAAAGAAAAAAAGAAAAAAUGGUAAAAAAAUCAGAUGAGUAUUUGUCAGAUUGUUGGUAACUUCCUUUUACGUUAUAACCGUCAUCUCCUCUUUUCUUCUAUUAUAAAUCUCUCUUUCCUUUCACUUUCAUUUUCAUUCUUCUCUUCGCCACACUCCUCCUUUUCUCAAUUUCUUAUUCUUUUUGUUCUCUCUCCUCUUUCACUUCAACCACCCACCAUGUGCGGCGGAGCUAUCAUCUCCGAUUACGUCGAACCAAACCCCGUUGUCGUCGACAACCUCCUUUGGCCUGACCUCGACACCACCUUCUCCGACCUCCUCGGUCUUGACCUCAUCACCCAGACCCAAAACUACCCCUUCAACAACACUACUUCUCCCAAUGUUGUCGACAAUAAUAUUCCCAAACAACUCUCUCAAGGUACACUACUCUGAUUCUGAACUCCCCUCCCCUCCCCCUCCUUAAUUACUUUCUAAAAUCCAUUUUUCAUUUAAUUGAUUAUUCAACCUCUAACUUGUAGUGAAACUAUUGUAGAAGAACUCAAAAAGUUGAACUUAUUAAUUUUAAGGAUGCAUAAACUUUGUAGGAAUUAACUUAAUUAACAAAUAAAAUAUGUAUGUGUGUGUGUGUGUGUGUGUGUGUGUCUGUAUAUCUUCAAUACUGUUUAGCUAAAUUUUGUUAUAAUGAAAAUUUAUAGAAGGUCUCGCAGGCAUAAAUCAAUAACAAUUGGAAAAGAAAUGACUUUAGGAGUUUGAGCCAUCUUUUACUAUGUUAAAUCAAUGACAAGCCCAAAACUAUAUAUCAUCUGGUUGACAAAUCAAUAGUUUAAUGAAAAAAGUGACUCUUUCACAUCAAUUGAGUUUUAAAAAAUGAGAAAAAAUUUAAGAUUCUAUUUUGUUUUUUUUCUAGAAUUAAGCUUAUAAUUCUCUCAAUUUUUUACAACAAGAUUUGUAUAUUAAAAUGAAAGCGUUAUAACCAAAUUUCAGAAAACAAAAAUAAGCUUUUGAGAAACUGAGGUGAAUGGAUUGUUUAAUUGCAAGCUUAAAGAAAAAGUAAACUUAGUAGUUCGUGUGUUUUGUUUUGUGAUGAGAAAUGAUAGUAAACUAGUAGUAAUUGGGUAUUGUUAAUGUUAAAUGUUUUUAGUGAAAAAAGAGAAAGUAGAAGGGAAUGAAGUAGGAAGAGGUGAAAUGAAGAAGCCUCAAAAGGUUAGAAAAAGCAAAUACAGAGGGAUCAGGCAGCGUCCAUGGGGAAAAUGGGCCGCCGAGAUUCGAGACCCACGAAAGGGCCUACGUGUUUGGCUUGGCACCUACAACACUCCUGAAGAAGCUGCUCGAGCCUAUGAUCAAGCCGCCAUAAGAAUCAGAGGUAAAAAGGCCAAACUCAACUUCCCGCCCCCACUCCCAUCACCACCAUUGUUAUCAGUACCGUUAUCUCUACCACCCUCACCGCCACAACAACAGCUCCCGACCACCUCCACCCCCAUUGAUGUCGAACUCAAACACCAAAUCUCAACCUUGGAAUCAUUCCUCGGUCUCGACCCCUCGCCACCAGUCGAACCCACAGCAGACCUUUGGUGGGUUGAUGACCUUCUCGCAUGUCAACAACAAAACCUCCAACUCUAAUUUCAAAUACCCAAAAUAAAACAUUAAUACUUACCUCAUCAUCUUUACAAGUAAGUAAGAAUCUUUUAUUAACACCGUUAAAAAUUUGAUAAGUUGAAAUUUGAACAGGUGCAAUCAGUUUGAAGAUUUUUACUUAUAAUCAUUUAGUAGGAGGUAAGUAUAUUGUUUAGUCUUUUUUUAAAUCCCAACUUUUGUUAAUAUAUAAGGAAGAGAUUUAGUUCUUCCUUUGAAGUUGGGUUUUGGGUCUAUAUUUUGGUUUAAUUAUAAUAUAGUAAAGUGUGUUUAUCACCUUUGUGUAUUGUGGAAUCAUACAAAAGUUUAUAUAAAUAAUGUUUAAGCAUUUUGGGUAUGUUUCUGUGAUGUGUUGUCGUUAUUAGCGUUAGAUUUUGAAAAUGAUUUAAUAAUUUGAUAAUGACCCAAAAGCAAAAACAAAUAGAUUAUAUAUAUACAUAUAUUAACCCAAUUAAUUAACAAUGAUUGGAUUUAUGUAUAUCAACAUUUAUAUAUUAGUAAUGUUUAAUAAUGUAAAUGCAAGUGGGGGAUGGAUUUAUAAUUUGGUUCAUGAACCUCACCACCAUUACGUCACACCAGCAGCUGCUUGAGGAUUUAAUUAAUUAAUUAACCUAAUCUUUUUGCCUCACUUAAAAAGGAGAUUACGAUUAGAAAAUUCAUGAAAGUGACAAAUUUCUAUUAGCUGUAUUCCCUUAUGAAUAAUGUCAAACUAUAAAUAGUGAUUUUAUUGAAAAAAAUUUAGAAUAUUUUCCGAGUUAGGUUUUGAUUCAACAUUGAUAGUAGUUUGGAGUUUGAGAUUUGAUCGUCCGAUUUUCAAAUUAAAAAUUAAAUUGGCACACACAAAAGAGAAAAAAAUAUACUUCUAUUCCAUAUAAUUUAACUUUGGUUGAUUCAAUUUGAUUAUGGGAAUAUCAACCUUACCUUAUGCCAAUUCAAUGUAUAUAUAUUAUGGUAUAUUUUAUAUUUUAUACUUCAUUUAUGCGUUUGGUUAUUCAACUUUUUCUUCUGUUGGUGCUUUAAUAGUUGUGAUUAAGGUCUUAUAAAUUGUUUAGCCAAAAUUUAUUUGACCAACUAUAUUCUUUUUCAAAAAAAUAUAUUUUUUAAAGAAAUAUUUCAAGUCAACAUACUGAUAUUAUAAACUGGGACCAUAAUAUAGUAAAUUUUAUCAAGGUCUAUGAACGACAUAGACUAUAUUGCAAAUAUUAUUGGUCUAUCCAUAACAAUAGAAGUAUAUAGUUGAUAGUCUUUGUUAAAUUUACAAUUUUUUUAAAUAUAGCUAUAUUUUUAAAGGAAAUGAUUGAAAAUAACAAAUUUGACAAAAUAUUUACUAGCAAACUUUUUAGAUUUUAUCAAUAUAAUAGAUAUUGCUAGACACUAAUAUGUUUCUAUCAGUACAUUGAUAGAUAGUUAUAGAAUCUAAAAUUUUGCUAUAACCAAUAACUAUUUUAAUUUUAAUUUUUUUUUUGUUUAAGAUGAUGAUAUUUUUUAAUUAUCAUCCUUAAAAUUGACAUUCAUUAAAUUUUUUUAGGUGAAGGGUGUGAUUCCACCUUUCUAAAAAAAUUUGUAAAAGAAUAUGAUACAAAUAUUAAGAAUUUAAGUAUUUUAAAGGAAGUAAAGCAGACACAAAUUGAACUAGGCAGAUUUAUAUAUUAGUAAAAAGGAAGUUUGUAGUAAAUACUUUUCAUGCUCUAAAAAUCGAAUAAAUAAAUAAAUUAAAAUACGACAAAUGCAUAGAAGUAUAAAAGAGAUUUUGGAAAUAAGGUUCUAAAAAUGUCAGAAGUUUAGUAAAGAUUUAAAGAUAUAUAUUCGUUGCAAAAUUUAUCAAGAGAUUUUCUUAACGAAUAAAUUCCGAUUUUUUGUUUUUCUUUUCGAAUAAAAUUUGAAUUUGUUUUUUUUACGAGAAAAAAUAAUAUUUUUAAAUAUAGUAAAAUGAAAAAAAAUAUUUUACAAAACGUAGCUAAAUUCUAUAUUAUAUUAAUGAUAAUCCCGGAUACUUUACCAUUUAUAAAAUUUGAAAUUUUGUAAUAUUUUAUAAAUAUUUUUAUACAAUUUUGUUAUUUAAAAUAAUUUUCUAUUUUACAUGAAAUACUGUAGAAUAAGACAAAAUAUAUGACCUACCAAAAAAGAAACUCACAUACGAGAAAAUUAUUACAAUGACACAAAUUUGAACACGAUCUAAAUUACAAAAAUACUCUUUUAAAAGUUUUUGUACCACUAUUCUUUUUUCCACUCCUAAGCUAUUGAACAUAAAAGAGAAUUUAACUAGAAUAAGCACAUGCAAAUUUAAAGUGUAAUAAUUAGGACGACUCCUAUUAGAACACUUGAAGUUCAUUAUAACUUUUUAGAGUAACGUUUGCUCUUUUAAUAUUUGUGUUAAAACUUAGGAACGUAAUUAUUAGAAAAUAUUAAAAUAAUAAUGUGAGAAGUUAGUGAUAGAAAGUGUGGAUAAUGAAAAGUUAAUGUGAGUGAAAAAGGUUAGUAUAGUUGAGAAAAAAUGUGUGAGAGAAAUUAAUUAGGUAAAAAAAUAUACCAAUUUUCAUGUAAUUUUCCCUCAUCAUAAAUAUAAAAAGAAUUAAAUAGGUGAGAUGCAUCAUUGUAUACAACAAUAUAAUCUCUUUCUUCUAAAAAAAAUUAUUUAAGUAAUUUUCUCAACAAAAUAUGACACAAUAAUUUAUUUUCUUUUCUUUUUUGUUGUAAGAAAAAGCACUUGAAAGAUUAAAAAGGUAUAUUAUUAGUAAGACAGAUGGAAAGGAGAAAAGAUGCAUGAGAAUAGAGAGUCCAAUAGAGAGCUUUAAUUUGUAAAAGCAAUAUUAAAACGUGUUGGGGAUGAGAUGUUUUUAAAUAAUAUUUAUGCAUUGGAAACCAAUUAAUGCAAAACCAAACCUCCCUUUCACCUCUUCAACUUAAACUUAAAACUGUGGGUUCCAAACACUCUCACCAAACUCCAUUUCUUUCCUUUCUAAAUCUUAACCUACAAAAUUCCAACCCUACACUGUGUUUUCAAGUUUUAACGAUAGUACUCAUUACCAUUUUAAAUGUAAUUUUUUUGUUUUUGUUUUUUGGAGGCUUUUCAAAUUAAAGAAAUGCUUGAAGUAGUUAAUGAGAAUCAACACACUAGAUGGAUCAAACUUAGGGUUUUUUAAUAUUGCCAUAGCUCCACUUUACACCAUAUCUCAGUUGAUAUAAAACUUUUGAAGAGAAACGGAACAAAAAAAUCGAAUAAUGUUUGAAAAACUUUUGAAGAAAGAGGGAAGCAAAUUUAAGUGUGCACAAUGUUAGGCAUUUACCAUAAUUUUCUCUUUUGGCUACCCUGGUUUGAAGCAAAAUUUCAAGGUGUUGGACUUUGCUGAGGAAUGUCUCUUUAUUUUCUCCACAUGGUAUGCUGUGAAAGAAAAAACCCAUAUGCCUUUCGCUAUCUUUAGUGACCAAUUUUGAGACGGAAACCCACCAAAUUAUUAGGUCUUACUACUACUUCACUAAUCAAUUACUUUUCUAUGCAAUUGUCAAACAUUUUCCCACCCUCUCCUCUCUUCUAAUUUGACCAAAUGUCUAAGUUUGCUACUUAUAAGUUCUCCUAUUUCUUUAGUGUAUGUAUUUAUGUAAUAUCUUUAGUGUUCAUGUGUGUGUGUGUAUGUCGAUUUAUGUAUGUAUAUAUGUAUGUCAAUUUAUGUACGUAUAUAUUUACUACUAUAUGACAAAUGUACUAUGUACUUUUGAAGAAUAUAAUAUUAGAUAGUGCACUAUCAUUUAUUUAUUUUUUAUUUCUAUCUUUGUUACAUUGUUUUCUAUAUCCUACCUAAACUAAAACAAUAUACACUAAAGACACGUUAUUACAAUAACCAAUUCACCUCAAAUGGCUCAUACAAAUUUGGUUCAUGGGCGAAAAUCAAAGUUUCAAUUUUCACUUUACCUUUAUUAACAUGAUAUGAACUAUAAAUUCAAAUAACACCCAUUAAUUGUUAACACAUUAUAUAACUGUAUUUGUUUGAGCAACAAAUUGAUGUGCAUAGAUUGUUGGACAUCAAAUUGAAUUGAUUGUCCACUAGGGUUCGAAUAUGAAAGCAAAUGUGGGCCGGGAGAAAGGUAUAGAAUAGAAGAUGCCAAAACGGGCUUUAUUUUAGGCCCAAUUGUAGAAAGAGAUGAAGCAAUUGGAAUCCCACAUCGGAAAGCAGAAUGGAAGAAAGGUGAAAGGAGAAGUAUAAAUAGCAAGUAAUAGAGGGAGGUUAAGAGUAACCCGACCUGUCAGGGGGUGAAAGGCGACUUGUCAAUGAUCGUAUAGAGACGACGAGUCGUGCCGACACCUACCAAUACGAACACACGGUACUCGUGCGCGAGCGAGCACCCACCCUACUUUCGGUGGGGGCUUGCCCGUCAAUUUUUGGAAGCCCCUGACUUUCUCGGUCGGGGCUUUAUUAAUUAUCCUCAUUUUUUAAUCCUUUUACUAUUUUCUUCCGACUCCACCCUUCCGUGUCGUCUUUUUUAUUCUAUUGAUUCUCUUAAAAUGGAACCAGUAAACUUAAAAUCUUACGAAUUAAACUUUAUUAAAUUAUCGUAAUUAUGCAUAGGGAUAUUUAAACAAACCCAAUAGAACGAAUUUUAAAAUAACAGAUAUUUUAAUAUUUGUAAAUUGUUUGAGUUUAAUUUGAUUGGUUUAAAAAAUCUUCCUAACCUAAACCCAAUUUAUUUAUACUCUCAUUUAUUAAUAAUGUAUUAACUUGAAUGGUUAUGAAAUAAAUAACUCUUAUGUUUUAUGACAAAUUGUAUUUAACUAUUCUUUUAUAAUUGAAUAUAUGGAAUUUUAUUUUUAAAAAAUGAUGUUUUGUUUUCUUUAAAAAAAAAUUCGAAUAGUAUAAUAUCAUAGAUAUUAUCUUGUUUAUUUUAAUUUAACAACAAACUCAAUUUUAACUUUUGAAAAUUAUUUUUAAAAAUAUUUAUUGCAUUUUUUAAAACCAAAUUGAAUUUCAAAACAAACAAAAAAAAUAGUUUUUAAAAAUCCGAUUUUGUUUUUAAAUUAAAUUGUAGAGAGUUCAAAUAAGUAAAAAUCAAUUUUAAAAUUCAGAUUUUUGAUACGGUCAAAUAGAUUUUUAUUGAUUCAAUAUCGGAUGAUGUUAGUUUCAUUAUACUGAAAAAUAGAAAUCCAUAAAACAUUAAAUAAUGAAAAAAAUAAAUCCAUGAAACAUUAAAUAAUGAAAAAAAGAAAUCCAUGAAACAUUCAAAUAAACAACCUAACGUUAUUACUUCUUUAAAUUUUGAUUCAUCCACUAAACUUCGAUAUAAUAUUAACGACUUAUAAAAAAAUCUUUAUUUUUAAGUAUUAUUAGUUAAACCUCAAUUAACUUUUUUUUUUAAAUGCAAUUACCACGUAAUAUUAGUGAUUAAUUCAAUUAACUGUGAAAUUAUUAAUCUACUUUAUGUUUCAAAAUUUGAAUGUAGUUAAGGAUAACUCUACAAUUAAAUAUACUUGAUCUUAAAUAAUGAUGGGAAGGUAGAUGGUUUGUUGAGAAUUUUUCUUUAAAAAAAGAAAAAGAAAAAGAAAAAAGCAACAUCUAAACUAUUCUUAUUUGUAACAAUACCCUUAAUAAAUUUAUAUUUGGAGUUAAAAGACACAAAAAUAAAAAUUUAGAAAGCUAUUGAGUGAGUAGUCAACAUCAAAUAUCUAACAAAGUUGUAUUGUAUUAGUUUGAAUACAAUAAUACAGUGAUGAAUUUUGGGAAAUGGACAAAUUUUGCAAUCCAAUUCCCCACUCUCUCCAACGAAUUAAAAGCAUUUUAUAAUCUGCAUUCAAAUCCAAUCUCCCUUCAAUUGCUCCAAAACAAUAAUAAUUGAAUUCACAUCAAAAUUAUUACUCCAUUAUUAAAAUUUAAAACCUCCUCCCCACCUAUAUAUAUAUAUACCAAUGGGAUUUGUGUUAUCAAUUUGAAUUUAAAUUCACCUCCCUCCCUCCUACCAGACUUGAAUUUGUAACAAAUGGUGUGAUAUAUUAAAAUUGAAACAUAAAGUCUCCAAAGGAAAUGAGUUGCACACAAUUAUUCAGCAAUCAAUACUUUCAACUCACUGUGGACCCUAAAUUUCUUCUAAAACACAUCUUUGGACAUUGUUCUUUUCUUUAACAAAUAAAAAUAUUAGACAUUGUUUUGUUGGUUUCUUUCAAUUUCACCAUCUCUUCUCCCUCUUUUCACCUUCUUAUUUCAAUUGCCUAUUAUUGUUUGUGGGUCAUCAUAUCAUAUCAUAAUAUGAAUAUAUAUUCACUUUUCUUUUCCUUCACCUCUUCUUCUUCUUUUUGGGUUUUAAUUAGUUGCUACCUAAUCAAUUUAUUGCUACCCUUUAUAUUAUACUAUGCUCUACCUACACUCACUUAUUCUAUAUUUUUCAUAUCAUUUCUCUUUCUUCCAUCAACCUCUAAUACUAUUUCAUCUAUCUAUUCUAUGUCGUCCCAUCCAUUUAGAUUCAGAUUGAGCUUCCUCCUAUCCAAACUAACAAUUUUAUUGGGUUUCAUUAUGUUGUGAAAGAUAGUGAUUGACUUAUAAAUAAGCAGUCUCUCAACUUCAUUUCAAUUUAUAAGAGUUGUGUUAGACUUUUUUCAAAUAUCUAAGAUUUAAGUAGUUCCGAGUAGUUGUUCUACCGAAAUUAGUCGUUGUAUCCUAUUGAGACGCUUGUUGUGAUAUAAUUUUAGUUUCUGCAAAGUAGAUAAUUGAUUCUAGAAUAACAUUUUAUAAACGUUCGUAUCUUAAUUGUCAAUUAAAUCUCUACAAGAUAUUCGAGUUUUUCUUUUGUUAUUUUAGUUUAUAGACUUGGCUAUCUCAUCUCACUAUUUUUUGAAAUUCUUGUUGUAUAACAUAUUACAUUGUAAUUGUUGCAUGAAAUGGUCAAUAAUUUGCUUGUGUUAUUUCAUUAUUGUUUCCUACAAAUCUUAAAUUAAAAAUUCAUAGAUACUAUCUUUCGAUAUUAAAAUUUUAAAUCUCAAACUAUUGGGUGAAAAGUUUAAUAUAAGCUUCUUAAACAAUAAUAUUUUGCAUCCUCCCUAUUUCCCUUCACCAAUAGAUGUGACCAUACUUGUGAAUUAUUUCAGAUGCAGACCUAUUUUGUUAGAGCACAAUGUUAUGAAUCACACUGUGGGGGUGGUAUAUACAUGAUAACAAUCAUUUAUUGUUGCUCUUAAUUAUCUCUUCUUUGAACAAGAAUACCGAGCAAGAGCUCACAUGUGUUUGGAUAGUUGCAUAUUUCAUCUUUUUUGUUUUGUAUGUUUGGUAAAAUUUGAUUAUCCAUUUGGCUACAAACUCAAAAAAAGAAAGUGUAUUUCACACAAUUGGAGAAUCAAAAGUCUCAUGUGUUUUGUGGAAGGUGGAAAUGUUUAGUCCAAAUGUAAAGAGAAUUUUGGUAUGGCCAAAAGUGAAUUGUUAUACAGAGGAAUUUGCUAUAAAACCUAAACCCACAUUCUCACUUUCCCUCCAUUCUUAUUCGUUCAUUGGUACAAACAAAAAGGAUAUUUGGGGUUUGUCUUUCUCACCCCCACAUGCCCACAUACCCCAAAACCCUCUUAUCUCCAUUUGGGCCUUUUCCUUUUUCCUUUCAUUUUAAACUUCUUAAAUUACAUUCCCCAUAAAUUACAGAGAUAAAUUUAACGUUAAUUUCAAAACAAUUUCAACUUGAUUAAUGAAAAUCCAUAUAUUUAUCUUAUACAAACUUCAUUUCAACUAAAAAAAUAACUCAUUCUAUAUAUAUUUGUGUGUCUUUCCAACUAUGCAAACAAACAAAUCAAUACAUAAAAGAAUCUUUAAAUAGCCCCCUAGAGUUUAAACAUACCUAAUCUCUUCUAAUGUUUAACGUUUUUAUAAUGAUAAGUGAUUCAUUCAAAAUUGAAGGCUAAAAAUCAUGUUAUUGAAAAACUUUUAGAUGAAUAGAAUCCUUGGAUUUGGGGUUAUUUGAGCCAAUGAGAUUAUAUUAGCUAAAGCUCUAUAGAUAUAAAUGGGAGGAUGGAGGUUUAAACUCGUAGCUUAAGAGAGAUAAGACGUGUUAAUUAUGAUUAACUAAGGUAUACUCGUUUUGGAGUUAAUUAUUGAAUUGUUUUGUAUUCAUUCCAUAUUACCACAAUACGAUAAUGCCAUAAUACCAUAUACCAACUGAAUCCACUUUCAAAUGAAAAGAAAUGAUAUAUUAUCUAAGUCUACCCCGCAAGUGUUGGCCCUUCCUUCUCCUUUUUCCCUCUCACCUCUUAACUGCCUCCAUCUUCUUCUUCAAUAUCAAUUCUCAUCCACCUGAACACAACAAACAAACACAAAUUCCCUCAUUUCACCAUUUCUCUCUUAAUCUUGAUGGGUCCUCACUCUGAUUUCAAAUCCCAUUUAGCCUCUGAAAUCUCCUCCUUCUCUUCCCUUACAGUUUCUUGCCCUCACCGCCUUUUCUCCCCUCCUUUCAUCGAUUGGUAUCGCCUUUUUGGGGUACGUUUUUUUCUUCCCCUUUUUCUCUUGUGGGGUUUCUUUAUUUUCUUCCCUUCUCUCUUAAUACAUUCUCAUAGGUCCAACAAGACGCUCCAAUCGAUUUCAUUCGUAGCCGAUAUCUUAAGCUUGGUGGGUUUCGUUUUAUUUUUUUCUUUUCUUAUUUCUCACUAUUGUCAUUUCGUUUUGUUUUUGUUUUUGUUUUUCAAUCAUGAAUGUGCUUUUGAUUUGCAGCUCUCCAACUUCAUCCAGAUAAAAACUCACACCCCAAGGCAGAAAUCGCCUUCAAGCUUGUCUCUGAGGUUCGAUUCCAUUCAUUUUCUUUGAAACCCAACUUCCUGUCCUAUUUAUCUGUUCUACAUUUUCUUUUUUUUUUUCAUUUUGCUUUCUAGAGGUUUUUCCAUGGCCACCCAUUGCUGUGUUUUCUUUCAUUUAAAUUCUGUUGUCAUGUACUACUCGUGAAUGUUAUAAUGAAACUUUGUGUUCUUGAGUUUAAUGCAAAAUCUUGAGAAAUGUGAGUGGGAAAUGAGGGAUUGUUUGUGUUUGUGUUUUGUGUUUGUAGGGAUAUGGUUGUUUAAGUGAUAAUGUGAAGAGAAGGGCAUUUGAUUUGGAUAGGAAGGACAAGUUUUGCGCUGAUUGUAACACAAUCCCUUAUAGAAAUUACACCUCUGCUACAAACUUGAAUGCUUUGAAUGUAUUAGGGAGUUUUCACAACAACAUUCAUGGAAGAGGUUUGAGAGAUGUGAAGGAGAGAUUGAGAGAAGAAGCUAAUGUGAUUGAGUAUUGUUUAAGAGCUAAUAAUUCUUCAACAACUACAGAAACUUCAUUAUUCAAUCCACCUGGUUGCAGUAUGUUUCAUCACAGAAACUACAAAGAAACCCCAAUCUUCAAUCCUUCUGACUAUGUUUGUCAAGGCUACCCUCAUUUCCGAACAAGAAUCCACCCAAAACCGCAGAGUUUUCGAUGUUUUAGAAGUGGAAAUGCAUUGAAGUAUGAACAAGGUAGAGGGAAGUGUGAAUAUCCAGUGUUUGAAAUUAGUAGUAAUAGAUCAGAAAGUUUCCUUUUACAGAAACAAUCUGCUUUUGUUUAUUCAAAUGUUAACAAAUCAUCACAUUGGUGAAACUCAGCUGACUUCCAUAUCCAUUCAUUGCCAUUUUUUUUCUUCUUUUCUGGGGAAAUUUAAAUAAAUUCUAAUUCUUUCAAAAGUUUUAUUAUUUAUUUUUCAAAUUAAAGCAAAAUUCCCUCUGUUUUUUGAAUUGGAGGGAAAGUGAAACACUUUCGAAUAACAAUUCUUUCUAAAUGUAAUAUGAUUAGUUCAAAUCUUUAAUAAAGAAAGUGGGUAACAAGUUUUCUUUUUGGAACUUGGGUUUUGUUUUUAGUUUAAUCAUAGAGAUUUAUUAUUAUUAUUUUAGAAAAAUAUAUACUAUUGUUGUAAUGUGUUCACAGUGUUUAAUGAUGGAGAUUUCUAAUGGGUCAAGUCAAUGUGAUGGUAAAGUUUGAUAAAAGUGUAUUGGAGUGAAAGGCUGAGUUGAGGAAUGUGGGGUAUUUUCUCACCAACUUGAUCAUCAAACUCAAAUUCCAUCAUUCUUCAUUUUCUUAAUCUUUUGUUUUCAGGAUUAAAACAUGUCUAUAUAUCAAACAGUUGAACCCUUAAAUAAAUAUAGUUUUUCUUUCAUUAUCAUUUUAUUUUUGAAAAUUAAUAUACCCAUUCAAAUGUUAAUUCUUUUAGAACAAUGAUGAUGAAAUAAUAACCUUGUGGUUACUCAAUUUCUUUUAUUGUUUGGGCAUGUCUUUUCUAUUUUGUUCUUAACGUUGGUAGAAAAAUUGAAAGAUGAAAAUAGGACAAAAAAAAAAAAAAGGAGAAGAAGAAAAUUGGAAGUAAUUAGAUUUUGGUUACUUAUCUAUAACUUUUUAUAUUUUCAUUUCACUUAAAUUAACAACUUAAAGAAAUUUUACAUUUACCAUUUUGGGUUGUUGGUUGAAAACCUUAUAAAGUAUGGUAACAAUCCAAAAUGAUUUGAAUGUCUCAUGGUUUCUUCAAAUUUGUAUCAAAAACAUGUGCCAAAAAUACUCUAUAAAGAGAUUGGGAUUCAUGCUCUUACAAGAAUGUUUUGUAAAAUAAGGAAAUAUUGAUCCCCAUGUGCUGCACUUUAACAAAAAAAAAAAAAAUCAGUGGUUAAGAUUUGUUUAGUAAUUAUUUUGCUUUUUUCUUUUUAAAUUAAGUUUUUUUACAUUACUUUGUAUGUUCUUUAAUUUGUAAGUCAUUUCCUAAAACAAACUACUUUGAAAACAUGGUUAAAAAGUUAGAUAACAAAUAUACAAAAUCUAAGGAUAGGUCAUUUUAAAACACAAAAAUACUUAAACUACUCUUUUGAAAUGUUAAAUUUCAUCCUUUUAACUUUAAAAUUGUUUUAUUCUAUAUCACUGAAGAUUUUUUUCUUAAAAUGAAAGACACAAAAUUUAAUGUAUUUUAAUGUUUAAAAAUUAGUUGUAUUUUAAAUCCUUAAUCAUUAUUUCAUUGGAACUGAUUUACAACAGUUUCAAAGAUUUAAGGUUAAAAUGGAAAUUAUUAAGGAUACUUUGCCUCUUAAUGUAUUUUUUAUUUUGGUUUUGGUGCUUUUUUUUCUUCUUCUGAAAAAUAGUCCCUUCCUUUCUAUUUUUAUUUAAUUUAAGAGAAGAAAACGAUGAAUUUAAAAUAUGAAACCAAACAAUUUUUUAAAAUAUAUAGAUCGAAAUAAACUAACGUAUGUUGACCAAAGUUAUUAUUUUUAAAUUACACAAACCAAAAAAUGCACCAAAACCGAGAUAAAAAAAUACAAUUAUCAAAGUGAAGGUAGUAUUUUUAAACCGAACAAAAAUUACAAAUAAACUUUUUGCAUUAAUUAUAAUUAUGAAUUUGUUAAAUCAUUUAUUUUUCCAAACAAAUUCAUAUUUUUUCUCAAAUAUAUUUUCUUAUUUCGAACAAAAUAAAAAUUUUAAACUUUUUUUCCCUUUUUUUAACUCCAAAAUCAUUAAACAAACCUUAUAUUGUUCACGUAGAAAAGGUUAACUUUUGAGUUUGCACGAAAAUGUAAAAAUAACCCUCAAUCAAUGAAUGACCAGUGACCAAAUCAAUUGAAUUUAAGGCAAAAUGAAUGAACAAAUUAGAAAGCCUAAUACGUAAUUCCAAGUAUGAAAUUUGAUAAAUACACCAAAAUGAUUGAGGAUGGUGUGUGUGUUGGAUUUUGAACCUUAAGAUAACUACAACUUUGUAAGCUACAAAAUUGCUUCCAAUCUGGUUGAGCUUUUGACUAUGAUUCAGGUAUAUAACUGCACACUAAACCUUUUUUUCUUAAGAUGAAUUCAACCGUUUUAGAUGUUUAUUCGAUUGAAUAAUUAGAGUUUAACAUGAUCGUGGUUAAUAAGCUUAUGUUUGGAAUAUAAAGUUAUAAGAUAUUUGUAAAAAGUAAGAUAAAAGUUAUUUAGUAAAUAUAGAAAGUAAGGGUAUAAUUAAAAGGAAGCUUUUCUUAAACAAAAAUAAGGAUUUACUCGAUAAAUGUACAAGUUCAAUAAGAAUUUAGUAUUGAAGUUAAGUUGUUUAAAAUAAAUAAGUUAAAUAUUUUGUUUCAUCAAAAUUAAUUUUAAAAAUGAUAAAAUUGAUUUUGACCCUUUUAAAUCACUCAUAAAUAUGUUUGUUAUUUAAAUGAACUCAUUUGAAUUAGAAGUUUUAUCUUUCUAAUGACUUUCUAUUCAUGAUUCUAAAUAUCAUUCAUACAAGAUUUGAAAAAUGUAUUAGACAAAAUUUCAAAUGUUGGACAAACAAACAAAUGAAACUUUGAUUCACUGUUCAAAGUCUUCAUUUCCUUACAUUAUUUACAUUAUUUACAUUAUAUAAUUAAAAUUAUAAUUUGCUAGUCCCAUCACUACAACCAUAUUGAUAUUAAAGUAUUAUUGUUAACAAAAACAAAUUUAAUGAAAUCAAAAUGAUCCAUUAUCAAUUGGUAGUCCCAUCACUACACCACAUAAUUAAAACUUUCAUUUUUAGGAAAGUUUAGACACAAAAGAUUAAUAAUUUCGGAAAGAAAAUACAAAGAAAUCCCCAAUUAUGAAGGCCAAGGGGGUUGUAAUUGUUUUAAUUUUGUGACCUCAAAAUUUGAUUAUUUGUGUUUGAAAAAUUGAAUUAUUGGUCCCAUUGGGGAAUUGAUGUUGAUGUUAGAAGAGAACAUGAACAUGGGGAGGCCAAAGUAGCACAUGAAACUACAUAGAGAGAGAGAGAGAGAGAAAAUAAUAAUAGGGAUUGAAUUGCAAUUUUUUUGGACCCUCAUUUGAAAGCUAAGAUUUUGAAGUUUUCCAAAUGAAGACAACAAAAUAUCAUAUACCAAUUUUUGCUACCAGGGCUUUCAUUCUUCCACAAUUCCCAUCAUACCCCUCUCCCCCUUACCUUAUUUAUCCCCAACAUUUUCCCUUAAUUUCAUUCCUUUCCACAUUUUUUUUUUAAUUAAUUGACCAACGUUACAUUUUAUCUUAUUCAACUUUAGCACUCAAAUUUUCAAAUUUAUAUCGUUAUAAAUUUUUAAAAAUUUAAAGUUAACUAUAGUUGAAGAGUAUAUUUUAGCCUAGCACAAGAUAAUAAAAUCUCUUUCUAAAAUUAUACAUUAGAUUAAAUCAUGGUUGGUAGAAUUGAAAUUUUGACAUAAACUAAUAAUUAAUGUUAUAAUUAACUUGAGUAAUAGAAUUUUGUGUGAAGCAAUAAAUUUGGUUGUCAGUUUGUUGAAGAUUGCUAAAGUAUAUUGUUCAUAGGUCUUUGUACCUUGUAUGGUAGAUACUCCACCAAAAGAAAAAAAAAAACUUGUAGAAAUUAAAUUACAGAUUGUGACUUGUUCUUAUAUGUGUAAUUAUUUAUUUGUUUGUUUUGUCUUUUCCAAAAAAAAUCCAAUAAUCCAAAACCAAUUUUUCUUCUUAAAUGAAUAAUAAUAAUAAUAAUAAUAAUUCAUGUCUAUAUUCUAUUGCUUUUCCUUUCCUAUACAUUUCAUUCUACAAAUUAUUCUAAUUCCUCUCUUCUAUUUGUGGUUCAGUUCUUCAAACCUUAAAUUUAUUAUUAAUCAAAUACCAUAUAGGGGCAUCUUAAUUUCAAUUUGAUUUUUAUACCCAUUUGAUUAGUCUAUAUAGCUUGAUCAAACUUUCUUGUCAUUGCAAAUUAGUAUCAUAUUAAUUAGUUAUCAUUUUCCUAUAUUAUAUUAAAUUGUGUUAGUUGAUUGUAUAAGUUAAAAUAUAUUAAAUAUGGGGCACUGUGGAUAUUUAUUAAGCAAUAAAUUAUUGUUUUUAAUUAUUGUUUAUUGUGUUAGCUCGUUGUAUAAAAUUGGGUUACUAGUAUGAACAAUAAAUUUGUAGGUAAAUCAUAGGUUAAAAAGUAUUAGAAACCAAACCAAAUGUAAUUCUUAUCUCAUUAACUAAAUUUUGUCAAAAGCAUAGCAAAAUUUGAAGAUUUAAAAGUAAGAAAAAUUGAAAGUUUAAAAGAUGUAAUUGGUAUGAUGAUUUUAGGGUCAAGAUUAGAUAUGGAUAUAGAUUUAGAUUUUAUAUAUUUAAUUUACGAUGGAUAGCUAAAAUUAGGGUUGCUGUAGUAACAUGUGGGUAUGUCUGUGAUAGGGGGAAGCUCCCAGCAAUGGAAACUGUCUAUCUUUGAAUGAACCCUUUGCCCUUCAUUGGUCCAUUUUCAAAUUCCCCACCACCCAUCACUCUCUCUCUCUCUUAUAUUUAUAAUUUUCUUUUUAUACUUUUUAUAUUUAUUUUACCAUUAAUAUCUCAUUUAUUUCCACCUUUUAAAAUUAUUAUUCAUAUCAUAUGUAAUGUAUGAAUGAUAUCUAUAUCCAAAUAAUUCAAUUCAUUCAUACAUAAAUCUGUCACUCUUCAUCUUCAUUUCACUUCUUUGCUCUCCUUAAUUCAUACCCCCAUUUCACUUAUCCCUCCAUGUAUAUUUUCCCACAACACUUUGAACUCUCUCAAAACUCUGGGUCCUAGUUUCUUGCAAUUAAAGAGAGAGAGUAGAUGAGAGGAACUUAGUUAUUUCAACAUUGUUCUAGAUUUUUUCUUUUUGUUAUAAACUAGUUUAUUUAUCUCAAACUUAUGAACUUUGCUAGCAUUAUAUUAUUGUGUAUAUAUGCAUGCACACUAUGUAUGCAUGUUUAUCUAAAUAAAAUUUUUAUAGAGUAAAAGGUCCUCAACUAUGUAUAAACUCAUGAUGUACAUGUAUAUUAAAAAAGACGGGGAUUUUGAAAUUUUGCUUUGAGAUUUUUUUUUCUUUUUUAAAAAAAUGAAUAUUAAAAGUAGGAUUUAAAAAUGGUAAUUGGAUGAUGGUAUAGAGAAAUGAAUGGUGGAGAUGAAAUGGUAAAAGAAAGAAGGUGUAUUUUGAAGAUAAUAAUAAUAGUAUAUGAAAUUCAAAGUGUCCGUUGGUCACCUCUUCUUCUUUUUCUUUUCUUUCUUCUUUUCUAGAAAAAUCUAAAUCAUUUUAUCUCUUUGUUGUGGUCAUUUUAAAACAUUCAAAUUAUCAAUAAUUCAAACUUUGUUAUAUAUUAUUAUAUGAUUCAAACUCACAAAGUUAACCAUUUUAACACUAAGUCUGGUUUCUGAAUGUCUAAAUGUCAAUUCUCUUUCAGAUUUUGCUUUAAAUUUUCUGCUUUUUUAAUGUAUGCUUCCUAAUAAUUUUUUUGGAGAGAAUUAAACAAAACUAUUAAAAAUAUAGCAAAUUUUCAUAUUGACACAUUAAUAAAUUUCUAUUUUACAAAUACAGAAUCUUAUUAUACUUUAUAAUUAUUUUGUUUCAUUGUAUUUGAAAAUGUUUCUAAAUUCUUGUUGUGUAUAUGUAUAUAUGUUUGGUAUUUGGCUAUAUGGGUGGCAGUUAGAUGUGAAUGCUCAUGUAAUUUAAUUUUACAAACUUUAUAUUUCUAUAUGUAUUUAUUUCAUGGUAUUCAUGCCAACACAAAAAUUAAAUACGAGAAAUUAUUUUAAAUGAUAUUUUUUUAAAAAAUAUUUAUAAAUAAAAUAAUAUAACAUAAUCUCUUCUAUCAAAAUACAUAUAAUAAUCUAUUACGAUCUAUCAUAAAUAAACUAUGAAAAUAGUUUUUCUAAUCUCGAUUAUUUAAGUGAAAUAUAUUCACUCUCAACCACUAAACAAUUAAUAUCAUUCCGUCUAAAAUAUUUUAUCACAUGAGAUAAGGGAUUGAACUCUUUGUAAAAUUUUAAAAUAGAAUAACUCAAACCUAAAAUUUUAAACAGGUCUUCAUUGUUUAGAGUUCAAAUUAAAAAAUAUAUAUUUUUUUUACUACUUAGAAAGUCAUAAGUUGAUAACAUAGCAUUUUUCUCCAUACCUGAUCUGACAAUCAUCAAGUUGUUAAUAAUGGUUAAAUAUUAUAAGUAUGUAGUAAUUCUAAACAUUGAGCAAUACUUGGUGUGUAUGAUAUUUCUUUUAAUUAAUAAACCUUUCAUCUAUUUUAGAAUGACUCAAAUGGUGAAUCCAAUAUAAACCAAGUUUGUAAUUAAACUGGAAAAGGAAUAUAUAGGCACACUCAGAAAGGUGUUGUUGACAGACAAUGUGUAUUUUUAAUAACCAAAUAUAAAAUGAUUGAAUGAAAUAAAAUGAAAGAAAAGAAAAAGAAAAGGUUUUAUUUUGUGUGGAUGGGUGUAUGUAUAUAUUUGGUAUGGUAGUUGAAGACAAACAAGAAAAGGCAAUGGACAGAGGGUGUCCUCUUCCAUUAUCAUGUACUCCUUAUUUUGUAAUAAAACACACACCAAUUAUACUUAAUUCUUCCUUUAAUUAUGUUUUCAUUCUCUUUCUCAAUUAUUGUAAUCAUAACUUGUUUAGGGGGUGACACAUUUUGGUGUUUCUUACCAUUUUUAUCCCAUGCUAAUAGAUGAAUAAUACAAAAAAAAAAAAAAAACCUUGGGAGUGGAAGCAUUAUAUUCUCUUUAGGAAAAAAGAAAAAAGAAAAUCACAAUUGAAUAGGAUUUUACGUUUAGAGAUCAAGUGAGAGAGAGGUGUAUAGAGUGAAGGAGACGAGUGGUAGAAACAAAUUAAAAGAUUGGUAGAGGCUGGUAAAAGAAGAAGACUAUUGGUAUAUUAUUUUGUCAUUUAAUAAUAUUUGCUUUACCAAAUGAUUGUUUCCAACAUAUUAAAUUGAACUAAUCCUCCAUUAAUAUACAACAACUCAAAACUCCAUUAUAAAUUUGUCAGGAUUAAAACAAAUUAGGACCAAAACGAAACACAUAAUCAUCUUUCAAAUUUGAAUACUAAGAAUAAAUUUGAAAUAAAGACAUAAACAUAAACCAACAAAAUUCAAAUUUUCUAUCCUUCUUUCUUUCAUUUUCUGAUAGUGAUUUAACCUUCACUCUCAAGAAAUUCUCUAUUUAUGCAUUUAAAUACUUGGAUAUUUUAAAUAAACCACAUGAUAAUAUCAACCAUCAAAUGUUUGAUUGAUUUAUUUAUUUUUCAAUUAAAAAAAAAGUACCAUAAACAUUAAAUACUAAACCAACCAAUAUAUAUUUAGUCAAAAAAAUAAAAACAAUAAUUGCAAAUCUAUAACACCAAGAGGCAUCCAAGAAAAAUCCAAAAGAGAAAAAGAAAAAAAAAAAAGGCCAUUAUUGUAAAUGUGCAUGUGCUGAUGUGUUUUGACAGCCUGUAGUCCGAUUCAUCGACGACCCACCACCGCCGCCGCCACCGCACAUCGGAAUCAAAACGGUCCAACUUUCCGGCGGACUAAACCAAAAUUUGAUAUUUCUUUUCUAAAAAAACCCAAACAUUCGGCCGUUCGUUCCAGGGAAUCUCUAAUAAAUAUGGUAGAAAACAAAAACCUCAAAUAUUAAACAAAACCUACGUUUUACACUUUGGGAUUAAUUAAAUAAAUUAAUCACUUUAACUCACACCUUAUUGUUGAUUUUUUUUUUAAAAAAUAGAAUAUAAUUGGGUGGGUGUUGAGCUUCACAUAGCUGGCUGCUUUUAGAAUUGAGUAAUAUAUAUAUAUAUAUAUAUAUAUAUAUACACAUAUUAUAAAAAUAAUAAUAUAGAAAGAGACAAUGAAAUGGAGCCCAAAUAUGGACAAAAAAUAAUUCAGGCCAUUUCUAUAAAUCUAAAUAUCUGAUUCCAUGCCCCCUAAAGCACACUCUAAUCUCAAUUUUCCCUCUUUAAUUUCCCCUUACCUUUAUUUAUUUUUAUCAUUCUCUUUCUUUUUUUUUUCCUUAAUCUUUGAGUGAUUUCACACUUCAAUUAUUUAAUCCAAAAUUUUAAUUUCAUUUGAGCACCUCAAAAUUAAUUCAAUCAUAUUACAUAAAUGGAGUUGGUUAUAAUGAAUUUUAUCUUGUUGUUCUAGCUAUUUGAAGUUUUUGGUUCAAUCUAGUUAGAUUAUGAAAAUAGAUAGACAUUGUUUCUCUUUUUUUGAUAUUACAUAUAUAUAUAUAUAUAUAUAUAUAUAUAUAUAUAUAUAUAUAUAUAUAUAUAUAAAAUGUUAUUGAAACAUCAUCUUGCAUUUAGGACCCUCAUAAGAACAAUAAAAAAAGAUGUAUGUAUAUAUUGAUAUAGUCAUAAGAAUAUGUUCCUCCUUAUCAAUCAUUUUGUCAAAGCAUAAUUGAUGGAUAUGGAAAUUAAAUAUAUAUAUAUUUUACAUUUUGAUUGAAUUAUUAUACAGUUGUAUCCUAAAUUAAAGAAAGCUUGUACUUUGUUCCUUCUAAAUGUUUAAGUUUGAUAUAAAUGAAAAGGAAGAUAUUUAAACAUAUAGGUAUAAAAAUAGAGAUUUGAUUUUGCAUUAUAACAAAGUUGAAAAUAGAAGUCUGAACAUUUUGAUUAUAGUCAUGAACAUCAACUAUAUAUUAGCCUAAAUAUGAAUAUUUUGAUAAUAAUAAUACAAAAAAAGAAAAAAAGAAAAAAAGAAGAGAGAGUAGAAUAAAUGUAUAGGUAGAUAGAAUUAUAUAUAUAUAUAUAGUGAUGAGGAGUGAGGAGUGAGGAGAGGGAAUUGAAGUAGAAAAGGAGAGAAAAGAAAGAAAUGUAAAAUAGUAAAAAAGGGAAAAGAAAGAAAAGAAAAGAAAGUAAUGAAAGAGGAGGGAAGAGGGUGUGGAAGAAGAUGUUAAUGUUAUUCGUUAGUGUGUGAGUGUUGGGUGUUGGUGUUGGGUGAUUGUUUGUUGUUCUGUCAAGUGAUUGAUGCCAGCCUGGCAUCUCCGCUAUCAUUGAUUCAGGGACCCACUCUCCUUCUGUCAUCCCACAUGCCCUCUCAUUGCCCCCAUCCCAUGCACUCCCAAAUCCAACUCCAACUCCAACUCCAACUCCAACUCCUCCUCCAAACACCUCUCCCUUCAUUUCCUUUCCUUUCCUUUCCUCCUCUCUUUUCCUUCCACGUUUCCCCCUCUCUCUCACCCAAUCAUCACUCUCCACCUAUAUACCUCCUCCUACUGCUUCACAUUUACCCUAAAUAUAAUAAACACAUCAAACCCAAACACAUAUACGUAAUUUUCCAAAUUAUCUCUGUUUUUCUUUCAUACUACAUUAACAUACAUUUUAUUCAUUUUAUUCAUUUUUAAAAAAUAAAAUAAAGAUUACAGUAUAGAGACAUAACAUAACACACUUUCUCUCUUUCUUCUCAAAUCCUCCUGUGAUGGAGGGCCGUUUCAAACAAUUUUGUCGGCGACAGACGUUAUUAAUCAUAUUCACAACCCACACACACUCACACCCUAAUUCCCAAUUACUUCUAAUUAAUUCUAUUCCUUUUUUUCAAAAAACAAAAAUUAAUUCUUUCUUCUUCUAAUCUAACAAACUAACACCAAAGGGCACAAUUUCUUCACCCAAAUUCUCCUCUCCCCCUCACUUUUUUUUUCUUUUUUUUUUUAAUUUUCUCUCUCUUUGUGUGUUGUGUUUGUGCAUUUAGAAAGCUGUCAUUUCAUUUCUCUAUACUGUCCUUCCCUUUCUUUCUUUCUUUCUUCCUUCAUUCACAAUUCCCUUUUGUAAGUUUAUUAUUAUUAUUCAUUUUUGUAUCGCAUUUAUAUCAUUAAUGCUUAUUAUCUCCUCCAAUACCCAUUUUCAUUUCCCUCCUUACUCUCUUACUUUCUUCUUCUUCUUCUUCUUUUUUUCCUUUUUUUUUUUUCUUCCUUUUUUUCUUUUUCCGGCUUCAGCUUCCUUCUCCCUCGCCGAUUUUCGCUGCCUUCCUUCCCCUUCUCCUUCGGCGUUUUGGAUUCUGCAUCUCGUUUUUCUUUUCUUUUUGGUCAUUGUCGUCUCUGGCUUUGACCAAUGAGGAUGCUGCUAGUAAGUACGUUUCUUUUUAUCUGGGUUUUUUUUCUUCUUCUUCUUUUCUCAUUCUAUAUACUACUACUACUCGAUUCUUUUGUUCUACGAAUCUUUCAACCCCAUAUGCUAUUUUCUGUUGAUUUCUGAACAAACCCUUUUCGUUUUUCUUUUUUUUUUUUUGAUUGUGUGUGUGUGUGUGUUUUUUUUUUUUUUUUGUGGGUUCUUACUCUUGUUUUUCAAUGUCUUCCAGCAUCAUCAGUUUACCUCGGGUUCUUUCUUUUUGCUCUGUUAUCUAUGUUUUUCUUUACAGAUGGUCCAGAAACCCUUUUUGACUUUUCGUGAUUUGUAUUCUCCCUUCUCUUCCGCUAUUACCCUUUUUCCCCUUCUCUCUCUCUCUUUCUCUCCUCUCCUUGAACAUUUCCUUGAUGUUGAUUUUCUGGCAGGUUUCAAUUUCUAGAUUUGAUAUCCUUCUGCAUUUUGUUACUUUCACGUUAUUGAUUUCUCUAAUUGUUGAUUCUAUCUCUCUUUGAUCUGCUUUUCUUCUUGUGGGAUUAGUUUCAUAUUCAUGUAGGUGUUUUGAUUUGCAAGUGGUUAUGUCAAUCACUUUAUUUUUUUCAUUUAUUCUCGAACUUGAAUCUGCAAUUGUGGGGAUUUGCAAAGUUUUUGUUUUUCAAUGUAGUUAUGGUUCUAGGUGUAUUUGGCUUCCUUUCUUUGUUGUCUAUCUCUUGUAGUUGGUUGAUUUAAUCAAUUCACGGUGUUGCCCCUAAGUUUCUUUCUUUUGGUUUUUUUUUUUUUUUUUUUUUUUUUUUUUUUUUCUGUAGGUGGCAUUGCUUUUGUUUCUACAAUUGAGCAAUGCUGCAAAAAUAAUCGGUGAAGAGCUCGUGGGACAGUGCGAUUCUAAACCAACAUUAGAUCCAAGACCACACAGUGUUUCUAUCUUGGAGUUUGGGGCUGUUGGAGAUGGCAAAACUCUCAACACCAUUGCCUUCCAAAAUGCGAUUUUCUAUCUUAAAUCCUUUGCUGAUAAGGGUGGAGCUCAGCUUUAUGUUCCACCUGGAAAAUGGCUUACUGGAAGCAUUAAUCUUACCAGCCACCUUACUCUUUUCCUGGAAAAAGGUGCUGUGAUUCUUGGCUCUCAGGUAUGUUCUUCUUCAUGGAUUGGUGCUCAAACAAGUAGUUGUUUGAAGGCAUUGUUUUGAAACACAUUGAUCUUCUCUUUAACAGGACCCAUCUCAUUGGGAACUUGUCAAUCCCUUGCCUUCAUAUGGGAGAGGUAUUGAAGUUCCAGGAAAACGAUACCGGAGCUUGAUAAAUGGUUACAAUUUACAAGAUGUUGUAAUAACAGGUUUGUUGCUCUCCUAAAAUCUAACCCUUUAUUCUGAAUAUAGUUUGUGGAUAUGCAUUCCUCUGAACUAGUGAUAUCAUGUUGAUUUUGGAUGUGCUAGGUGAUGAUGGGGUCAUUGAUGGACAGGGUUUAGUUUGGUGGAAUUGGUUCAGCUCUCAUUCAUUAAACUACAGCCGCCCUCACCUCGUGGAAUUUGAGGAUUCUCAAUAUGUAGUUGUUUCAAACCUCACUUUCUUGAAUACUCCUGCCUAUAACAUUCAUCCAGUCUAUUGCAGGUAUGCUAUAACAACCAGUGAUCAGUUUCUUCUGCCUCUGCUGAUUGUGUUCACCUUGUUGAUUUGUCUAUUUGCUGAUUGUCAGAGAAUCUGUAUUGAAUAAAAGUUUUUCAUGUGCAGUAACGUCUAUGUUUACAACAUCUCUGUCUCUGCACCUUCUGAAUCUCCCUACACAGUUGGAAUAGUCCCAGGUUUGUUAUGCUUCAAUUUUCAGCAUCUCAUUGUUAUUUUGUGUGACUAUUGUUGAUGGGCUCUCUCUCACUCUCUCUCUCUCUCUCUCGUUUGUUGUGAUACAUCAAUUGGCUGAAUGGCUUGAGCACCAUUGAAGAAUCUCUCUUUUAUCUCACUUUCACAUGCACACACACAGCACUUAGUACAAAGAAGAAAAUGCCAUCAAGAAAGCUAUUAUGAGCAGUUGACUGUUAACAGAUAUGUUUAUAAACUUUAGGUACUAUCAACACUUGUUUAACAUCAUGUAAUCUUAGAAAAACAAUGCCCUCUUAUAAAAAAAAGUCCCAAUAUACCAAGUUCUUAUAUUUGGGGCCUGAGGUCUAUGGUGAUAAAUUUUACAGUAAAAUUUAAGAAACUUGGCACUGUUAAAAUGGUGACGUUGGAUUGAAUUUAGAAAUAAGAUUCUGUUAGGAGUUUAUGACGCGUAGUGGGAUGCCAUCAUGAUCAAAAGGAUUUAUUGUGGGGCGGAACAAAUUUAGACAUACAGUACAUCAUGGCUCCAUUAAUGAUCAUCAAUCCAAGAAUUAAAAUUAGUGUUUUGCAAUUUAUUCUUUCUUGUUUCUAAUUAAUGAGGUGGAGAAGCAUUCUUUUCUAAAUAAAGUUUGAUUGGUGCUUUCAGAUUCCUCUGAUCAUGUAUGCAUAGAGGGCUGCAACAUUGCCACAGGAUAUGAUGCCAUUGCCUUGAAGAGUGGUUGGGAUCAGUAUGGUAUUGCCUAUGGCAGACCAUCUAAAAACAUACACAUUAGAAGGGUCCACCUUCAGUCAUCUUCAGGUUCUUCCAUUGCCUUUGGUAGUGAGAUGUCUGGUGGGAUAUCUAAUGUUCUUGUGGAGCAUGUACAACUGAACAACUCAUUUAUUGGCAUUCAAAUUAGAACUACCAAGGGAAGAGGGGGUUACAUUAAAGGAAUAGUUGUUUCGGAUGUUGAAAUGGAAAACAUAUCGACGGCAUUCAGUGCCUCUGGUCACUUCGGGUCACAUCCGGAUGAUGAGUAUGAUCCUAAUGCUCUUCCAAUUGUGCAGGACAUAACCUUACAGAAUGUGAGAGGCACCAACAUUAAAAUUGCUGGAAACUUUUCUGGGAUACAAGAAUCUCCCUUCACUUCAAUUUAUUUAUCCAACAUUACCUUUUCAAUCAAUUCAUCUUCUUCCACUUCUUGGAUCUGUUCAGAUGUUUCUGGCUUUUCAGAAUCUGUGAUCCCCCCACCCUGUUCUGAUCUCAGUACUCCAUAUUCAAUUUCUUCCUCAGCAGCCUCUCCCCUUGUGAAUUCAACUGGAAAGACUGCUGUUUUAUGAAAACCCUUUCCUUUCCAAGGGUACACCAAUAUAUAUUUCAACCCCCAUUCUACAUGAGGGAAAAUACCAAAACUUUCAACCAUUGCCUUCUCCAAGUCAAGCCAGAUUCUUUCAAAUAAAAACCACAUGUCUAGAUUACUUGUUUCUUCAUUCUCUUAGAUUUGCUUUCUUCCAUGUUGCACUCUGCAGAUUUAUUUGUACAGUUCCAUUUCUUCAUUCACGUGUAAGGAAAUUUUUGGUAGUGAUUUUACAGGUCUUUUGGUAUCGUUUGUGUUGCUUUUUUAAAUUAUUCCCACUCCCUCCCCCUCUCCUCAAGAGCUUGGUGCAUUGUAAUUUCACUGUAAAUUGUUCAUUUGUUGUGAAGGGCUGAAAGGAUAAAACUCUAGUUGAUGUGAAAAGCAAUUCAUGUGGAGCCAAGUGAUUGGAAUAAAGGGAUCUUGGUGACACUCUACUGCUUGUUUAGUAAAUUAAGAUGGGUGUUUUUUUUUCCAAUUCAAGUAUACAUUUUAUUUCUCUUCCUCUUCCUGUUAUGUUUAUUAAUGAAUCAUCCUUUCUGGUCAUUUCCUUCCGUAAUUUUUUAUCUACUGCUUGAGUGCUACUAUUCUUAUAAGCAUCAUGGAAUGUGAAUCAAACAAGGUUCCACAUGUCAACCUUCCACUGGCAUGCCCCUUAUUGAUGUCUGAAGUUGUUAAUGUUCUGGUGGCCUAUACAUCUGCAUCUGCCCUCAGUUGUCUGUUCAGGCUUUCUUCCUCAUAUUAAAAUAUCUUUAAUUCUUUAAACAUUAUUCUCAUGAUUGAUUUAUGUAUUACUUAUUGCUUGUUCUAAAUCUAGUAUUGGAAUCUGACGUAGGUUGCCACGAUGUAAUUGACCAGAUGUCUUAUUGUCCUUUUACAUUUUCUAUUGGUGCAACCCACUGAUAGAAUGAAAACAUUGCCUAAACAUGAUUCUUAACUCUGCUUUAGAUUGUUUUGGGACAUUUGCCAUAUGGGCCAUCAGUUUUGGAUAUAUUGGGUUCUUUUUCAUUCAGUGAUUACAUGGGCUUUUGUUCAUCAAAAUGACUGCAGAAUUAAAUUUGAAGAUUCGUUCUGGUAGGACAGAACUUCAGUUCAUUCUCUGUGAUUUGCCUGUUAUAUUUUAGCAAAUAUGAUUUUUUUGGCAAGAACAUAGUCAUUGUUUCUGUAAACAUCUGUCAGCCGUUGAAGCCUUAAAAAUCUUUACAACUUUACAAGAUUCCCCACGUCGCUAUUACAAGAAUGUUCUUCACCUGGUUUAUCAUCUAUCUACCCAUCACCAAAAGGUGAGAAUUUGGUAUCAGAUUCUUACAGCACUCCCACGUUGGGAAUCUCAUUCGUUCUCUCUUGCGUGCCCAUCAAAAAGUCUUCCUAACAUUAAAACAUUUCACCAACUCAACUAUAGGAUCUUUUACCAGAUGGGUUUUCUUUCCUCUCUUUUUUUUUCCUUUCUUUCUAUUUACUUUACAUUAGAUUACAAGCGUUCGGAUUCUCGUCGCUGAAUAUUGAUGUGAUGUUCCCAUUGCUACUGCCUGUGCCUGUGUUGUAAUAGUCUUCAUUGUAAUUGUAAAGAUCCAGUCUUGGGCUAUAAUGGGUGGUUGGCUGCUGUGGUAUGGAUUCGGAGGCGUAUACUGGGGGCCUGCUGUAUGUGAGUGGUCGGACAUACUCGGUAAUGUAUGGCGAUGGCUUGUAUGUGUUGUAGCUGUGUAUCACGGUUGCCGGCUGCAUUGAUGUCGCUCCUGGAAUGUUGUGGUGGUAGUUGUGGCUAGAGGCGUAUCUGUAUUCGGGUUGGUGGUGGUGGACUACAUGGCUUUGGCUAUAAUUUGGUGGCUGAUGGUAUUGAACCGUCUGGCUGUGAUCAGGGGGCUGGUGGGAGUAAACGGUGUGACCAUGAUCAGGUGGCUGGUUAACCAUGUGGACGUGCUCGGAUGGUUGAUGGCCUACGUGGAAGGAUUCUGGUGGUUGAUGGUGGACCACAUGGCUAUACUCAGGUUGGUGAGAGAUGACAUGGCCAGGUUCUGGUCCUGGUCCUGAUCCUUGAUGGUGGACAACAUGGCCAGAUUCUGACGGAUAUUGGUGGACGAUAUGGCCAUUAUCGGACGGCUGGUGGCUGACAUGGCCUUGUCCAGCAUCAUAUCCCCCAGGGUGUGGUGGUUGUUGGCCGUUGGUUGGAUCAAAACUACCAUCUUGAACGACCAUUUGGCCAGGUGGGGGCGCGCCACCCGUGGCCAUAUCAGUAGGACCACCACCCAUGACCAUGUCAGGAGGAGAAGGACCUGAUGAAAAAUUGGGUGGUUCACUGCCGGCCGGAGCCAUAGAAUCCGGCGGUUGGCCAGUGGGAGCAGCUUGAGGAUCCGUCUGUUCAGAAUCAGAACAAAUGGUGGCAAUCUUCCUUGUUUUCUUAAUGGCUUUCAUGAUUCUCUCAGGCUCAGCCCAUCCAAUGAUAGUGAGUUUCUGCUGGGGAAAGUCUAUGUAGAUAUCAUAAAUGCCUGCAAAAGAACAAGAAAACUCAAGAAGAAGAAGGAAAGAAAGAAAGAAAAAAUGAAAGAAAGAAAGAAAUGUAUAAAAAAGAAAGAUUAUUUAUUUUCCUUUGGCUCACCAUUAAUUCCAUACAAUGCUUUCUUGAUCUUCUGGACACAGCCAUUACAGUCCAUCCGGACCUUUAUCUCAGUAAUCUUCGGUUUCUGCAGAAAAGGAAAGUAAGUGGUAAGAACCCAAUUACAAUGGAGAUGAAAAGAAACAAGGAGAAGAAGAAGAAUACCUCAAGUUCUGGAAUCAUGAGGAGAUGAGGGGAAAGUAAAGGGAAAGAAUAUGGAGGAAAGAAGAGAGAGAGAUUAUGUGAAAGAUGAAGAAGAUCAUAAACGAAGAAUCAGAAUUGAGAGAGGCAAAAUAAAAAGAAGAGGAGAUGGGAAUAUUUAAAAGGGUGUGGGACAUGCAACGAAUCUAAUUGGAACUUGGACGACACAAAAUAAAAAAUAAAAUAAAAAUAAAACAAAUGAAUUCUUAAUACAAAAAAAAUCCAAAACCGACCAUUUUGGGAAGAAUAUAAAGCAGAGGAAAGAAAAGAAGGGGGACGUCUUGGUUUUGGGUUUUGCAUGCAUGGACUCAAACCAAUCCCUACGCCACUGUUAAUGAAACCCUCAAUGAUUCCACGUUGAAAAUAUGAGAAAACAUCACAUUUCUCUAAUACAUACUACUUAUUUCUAAACGCUACAAAUUUUGUUCAAAGGGAAAUUUUGUUAUAAGCCCAUCUCUUUGGUACUAAAAUAAAAAUUUAUAACUAUUUUGCAUGGAAAUAGUUCAAGUCUUCUUUAAUUUUGCAAUUAAUUACAAAUUACGUAAUUUCAACAUUUACACUAAUAUGCAUAUAAAUAUUGUUAUUGUUUUACUUCAAAUAAAUAAUGAUUAACAAUUGUCAAAUAAUUGGAGUUUAAUUAAUCCACAAUCAAAUAUUCGUUAACAUUGUAACAAUUUCUACCAAAAUACACACUUUCAUAAAAUUGGGAUCUCAAUAUCUUUAUCAAUAUUAAUAUUUGAAAUUUUAGGAUUUUUUUUAAAAAUAAUGUAAAAUUUGAAACAUAUUUCAAAAAUAGGGUAGUUGCAAAACUAUUUUCAAAAAUAGGUGUUUUGAGGUGAAGUCGUGGACGGGGUACACGACUUCCAUGCAGUGGCCCCCACAUACUCUAUUUUUUCCUUAUUUUUAUAUUUAUACUACACUGGGCCCCACAUUUUUUAAUUUUCUCAUUAUUUAUAUACGUGGGUCCCACACACUUCACUUUUUCUCAUUAUUUAUAUAUACAUACUCACAUAUAAUAUAAUAUAUAUAUUAUACAUUUAAAUUCUAAAAAUAUCUUUCUUUAUUAAAUUAAUUUAUUUUUUUUAUUUUUUUCUUUAUAUAUAUUUAAAUAUCACAAUCUUCAAUCUUCAAUUUUUCUUAUUAAAUUCAUUUUUCUAAUUUAAUUUAAUUCUUUCUUAAUAACAAAAUUAUACAUAUAUUUUUUUUCCAAUUUUCAAUUUUUUUAAAAAAAUCUCAUAUAUUAACAAAACAUGUUAUUAAAAAUAUAUUAAACAAAUUAAAAGAGUAAUAAUAAUAAUUGAGAUAAGUUAAAAUUACUAAAAAAAAUAAUAAUAAUAACACUUGAAGCCACACACAUUGAUAAUUGAAUAAAAAGAAAUUCAUGUUUAUGGUAAAAGGAAAAAAACAAGAAUUGGUUCGAUUACAAAUUAAAUUUAAAAACUUAAUGGAUAAUUUUGAAUUGCAAAUUUAUUGUUAUUAUUAUUUUUAGAGUACGUUUCAACUUCUUUCAAUUACUAUUAUUAUUUUUAUUUGUUUAAUGUAUUUUUUAAUAACAUAUUUGGUUAAUAUAUGUGUUUUUUUAAACAGAAAAUUAGAAAAAGAUAUAUAUAAUUUUGGUUAAGAAAUAAUUAAAUUAAAUUAGAAAAGAUGAAUUAAUAAGAAAAUUUGAAGAUUGAGAUAUUAAAUAAAUAAAUAAUAUAUAUAUAUAUAUAUAUAUAAAUUAUUAUUAUUAUUACUCUUUUAAUUUGUUUAAUAUAUUUUUAAUAACAUGUUUUGUUAAUAUAUGAGAUUUUUUUAAAAAAAAUUGAAAAUUGGAAAAAAAAUAUAUGUAUAAUUUUGAUUAAGAAAGAAUUAAAUUAAAUUAGAAAAAUGAAUUUAAUAAGAAAAAUUGAAGAUUGAAGAUUGUGAUAUUUAAAUAUAUAUAAAGAAAAAAAUAAAAAAAUAAAUUAAUUUAAUAAAGAAAGAUAUUUUUAGAAUUUGAAUGUAUAAUAUAUAUAUUAUAUUAUAUGUGAGUAUGUAUAUAUAAAUAAUGAGAAAAAAUGAAGUGUGUGGGACCCACGUAUAUAAAUAAUGAGAAAAUUAAAAAAUGUGGGGCCCAGUGUAGUAUAAAUAUAAAAAUAAGGAAAAAAUAGAGUAUGUGGGGGCCACUGCAUGGAAGUCGUGUACCCCGUCCACGACUUCACCUCAAAACACCUAUUUUUGAAAAUAGUUUUGCAACUACCCUAUUUUUGAAAUAUGUUUCAAAUUUUACAUUAUUUUUAAAAAAAAUCCGAAAUUUUAUAAACUAUUAAUCCCUAUUGUGAUUUGACCAUGGUAUGAAAACUCUAUAUAUUUUUUCUUUUUGGUAAUAAAAUAACAAUGGUCAGCUAAGUUAAUUCAAAGGUGCUUUUUACAUAUAAAUAUUGGUUUGAUCUGCUUUAUAUUAUUCUUCCUAAUCCAUGGGUUUGGCUUACAAGGUUUCAAUCUUAGCCAUCCAUCUCUAGGAGUUUCAUGCCACUCUGGACUUGGAAUCUACACAUACUGUCUCUAUAUAUUUAUUUAUAUGUAUUAAUAUGCUUUUGAGUCUUUAUUUUCUUUUACUAAUUAAAAAUACGAGAACAAAGUUGCUAAUAUAAACAAUAACCUCCAAAUUCUUAAUAGAUACAUUAUAAUGUUAAAGAAUUUACAAAUAUAACAAUUCCGUUUAUUACUAAUACUUCAUGUUUUUUUCGUGAAUAGAUUAUUUGACUAUAUUUGUAAUUUUUUUAAAAAUGUUAUAUAUUUAAUGAUUAAUUUUAGAAGUUUUACAAAAAUGACGAUUUAAUGGGUUCUAGCACAAACCCACGCUAGUGUGUGCAUCGUUUGCAUACACAAGCUAUCACGCUUGUCAUGUUUAGCUCCACAAGUUUAAAGUCAUUCAUUUUUACUUAGUCAUCAAAGCAUAUGGAAUGUUUUCAACGAUGAGAUAAGAACAACUUCUCUUUUAGGGAUUAACCAAAAAGGUAAUUUAUUCGAGACUAUCUUUCGUCGAGUCAUAUGGGGUUGACUUGAAGAUGUCGAUAUCUAUGUUAAGUUGAAAUUUGUGUAGGUAUAUAUAAACUUUCUAAGCUGUAUAUAUUAGACUAUGCAUUUUAAAAACCUUUCAUUUGAAUUCACCAACUUUCAAUUCCAUAUUUAAUAUGACUUUACCUUUAAAUUGUUUAAUGGUUCUUAGGUAAUAUAUUCAACAAAGCUAUGUGGAAGUAUAUAUUAAAUUGACGACAACUAAUAUAAGAACUUAGUAUAUGUAUAUUGAAACAAAUAAAAUGAAAUGUUUAGGAGUGUUAAAACUUUUUAAAAUUAAAGUAUUAAGAUUAGAUAGACACAAGACAAAGGCUUAUUAAAAAAACUUCAAAGUAUAAAGAUUUAUAUGUUCUAAACUUUCAAGUAUUUUUUUCUUCUUCAAUUUUUAUUUAGCCAAACAAUUAUAUAAGCGUAUGAUCAUAGUAGUUUCGAGAAUAUUAUGUUGCAUAUGGGUCUAAUUUUUAAGAAAAAAAGUCAAAAAUAAUAUAACCUUUAAGUUUUACUUGUGUCGGCCGAAAAAAAAAAGCUUGUUGAUUUUAAUCAAUAAGAUAAAUUACAAAUCUAGUUUCUACAUUUUGAAACUACUACUCGAUUAGGCUUUUAAACUUUAAAAGAUGUAGUAGGUCGUUAGAUCCAAUUAUUUGUAUAACAUUUAGUUGAUGUUUAAAAUUAACUAGUAGAUAUUUGAAUGCCAUUUAAUUUUCUUUUUCUUUAAUACGAAUGACAUUUAAUUUUAUAUCAAAUAGUUUGUAAUCCAAACUAAAACCUAGAGUUAAAAGUGUUAAAAGUAUAAAGAUCAAAAGUUAAAAUAGGUUUUUUUUUUUUUUUUACUUAAAUAUAAGUAAUUGAUAAAAAGAAAUUAAACUCAUCUUCUUCAUCAUCAAAGGGGUUGAGACCUAAAUGCAUGCCCAAAUUCAACUCAUACUAAAUUUAAAAUCAGCUGAAUGAACAAUUGAAGUCCAACCUAAUCCAUCCAUCUAAAUAAUUGAAUAUGGACCAUCAUUCAUAAGAGUAGGCUUGCUCAUGGAUUAUCUCGUUUGAAUUAUAUUUAAUGGGAUAUGAACCACUUCUUGUAAGAGUAGACUUGCCCAUGAACGAUUUCGUUUGAUCUAUAUUUGAUUAACUCGUCAUUUGAUAGACAUAUCAUAACAUAACCACAGUGUACAUGGUAUGUCUCUAUGUCUCUAUGUGUGUAUAUAGAUAUAUUUAUAUAUAAAGAUAUAUCUUUAAACUUACAUAUACCAUUCUUUAAUUAAUAAAGAAAUUUAAAAAAUAUAUUAAAAAAAAGGAAAGCGUUUAUGAAAGAUAAAACAAAAGGAAACUAAAUAAUAGUGAUAAUUUAUAGUAAAAAGUACCAAAUUUAAAUUUAAAUUAAACAAGAAAGAUAUUUCUAAAUUCUUUUAAUUAAAUAUAGUGAAUUUGGACUAGAGAAGAUAUGAACAAGAUAAAGUGAACUUAAUUUUAAAAGAGACCAAUUAAUUAUUGAUCAAAUAAAAAUUUGAUCCUCAACUGGUUUGGAUAAGAUUAAACUCAUAUUCUAAUUUUAAAAAGAUUAAUAUAAAAUGAAAGCCAAUUUUACUUUGUUAUAAUUUCAUAUGAGGUAACUUAAACUUAUGACUUUCUUGUUAUUAUAAAAUUUUUAUUUUGAAUUUAAGACAAAAAUUUUUUUCUUUGUUUUGUAAGUCAUCUCUUCAUGAUAUUAUACGUGUUUUUCCCGAUCCAAAUUAAUUUGAUAUCGACAAAUGUUGAAGGGGCUAAUCGAAUGAACUCGAACUAACCUAAGCUCCAUGAAAUGUGUGGGUCAAGGAUUGGGUCAUAAACUUGAUUAUUGAAGAGAGUGGGGUUGUCGUAGGCCCAAAAGUCUCUUGGGCCCAAGUUGUAUUUUUCUUCAGGAUACUUGAGAAAUGUUGCAUAUAACCAAAAUGGUUUUCAUUUUUAGCAAAUAAAUAGCAAAGAAUGAGGAUGGAGAGUGUUUAAUCAAAAUUGAGGAGAAGUGCUUUUGGAGAGGCAAAAGCAUGAAAUCAAUUUAAUUACGGCUCAUAUUGGAUAAAAACAUACGUGAAGAAACAUAAAAAUGGUUUUGUAAAAAUGAACUCUCCUAAUGGUAACAACAAAUUUAGAUCAGUAAUGGAAAAGUAAAAAAAAAAAAAUGAAGAUCGUUCACAGUUUUGAUGUCCAAAUAGAGAAGUUCCACAUUUCAUGCUAAUGAACAAAGCAGAUAAAAAAGAAGAAAAAAUAUCCAAAAUAUAAAUUUAUUUUGGUUUAAAAGAAAUUGAAUACAGAAAAUCAGUUGUUAGCAAGAAUUUAGAACAUUUAUAAAAUACAGAAACGAGAUUAGGUUAUAGAUAUAGUCAUAACUUAAAAAUAAACAAAACUCAACAAAUGUGUAUUGAACUAUUAAGUCGGAAAGGAAUGAUGUUUGGAUCUGUUGUAAUUAAAAAGAAAAAAAGGAAAAAAGAAAUGUGGUGUUGGGAAUGGGAAUGGGAAGUGGGCCAGAAUUGGUAGGCACAAUAAAAAGGGCAUACGGAGUCGGAAGAUUGGUCUCUGGGAAUAUCCAGAUUCGGAGAAGGAUACAUGGGUCAUAAAGACAAAAGAGGGAGGGGUAAAUAAGUAAAUUUAGAGUUAAAUACCCCACAACGCAUUACGCAAAGGAUAGAGAGAUAGGUGAAGAAGAAGAGGAACGGAAAGGGCAUUGGGAAAUUAUGAUUUCUGGAGUGUUCUGGUCCUAAAAUCUCCCCCCCCCUCUCUCUCUCCAAUCCAAUCCCCUCUUUCCCCCACCCCUUUCUAUAAUUUUCCAAAAAUUAGGUUUAAUUUUCUAAUAAACCUCUCUGUUAGUUAUCUAUCUUCUUCCCCCAAUAGAUUUUACAAAACCCUAGUUUCUCCUUUCUUCUUACUUUUUCUCCUCUUCAUCACUGUAUACAUAUAAAAACACACACACCUGAAUACCUACCUACCCUGCCUUCCUCUUCUUUUCUUUCUUGCAAUGUCAGUCUCCGGUGGUGUUUCGAUUGCCCGAAUCCGUGGCGAGAAUCGCUUCUACCAUCCACCUGCGAUGCGACGUCGUUUGCAGCAGCAGCAGCAGCAGCAGCAGCAACAGCAACAACAACAACAACAGCAGCAGCAACAGCAGCCGAAGCAAAGUGCUUUAGAUUCUAAGGACGUUGUGGCGGCUGCUACUUCCACGAUCGACGACUUGGAAAAGAGGAGUGAGUUUGAUGAGUGUCGUUCUUGGUCCACUCGCUCUGAUUGUUCUGUUUCCGAUCGGGGACUCGCUGAUUCUACUAAUUUGGAUCGCUUUUUGGAGCAUACUACUCCUCUUGUUCCGGCUCAUUGUAUUCCUAAGGUAAUCAUUGCUUGCUCAAGCUACUGUUUUUUGUCCUCUCCUUUUUUUCACUUGAUGUUUCCUCGGACUUUUUAAUUUGCUUUCUGGACUUGAAACUAGCUUAUUGUCAUGGUCAGCCUUCGUGUAUGAACUUCUGAGAUGUGUGUAUUGAACAAUCAAUUACGGUUAUUGCAAUUUUGUUAGGUUCAAGAACUUGUGGUUAAGUUGAUUAGCCUUGAGGCAGAUGUGAAAUCUUCCUUUCACAAUGUCCCCCCUUCCACUUCCCAUCUCUGCUUCUACAUUGUCUCUGUAAUCAAUAUAACUGUAGUGCUAGUUUUUUUUCUAUCUAUUUAAUUUCUUUUGUUUCACUAGGAUAUCGGUUAAGAAGUUGAGUACAGAUCUUAGCUAAGUUGCUUUUAAUUUGAGAACCUGACUUUGCUUCAAUUUCUCAAAUCAUUAAAUUGCUUCUUUAAUUGGCUUUUUGGGGAUGUCGACAGACGAGUCUGAGGGGGUGGAGAAAUCGUGAAGUUUCAGAGGCAUCUCCUUAUUUUGUGCUCGGUGAUCUCUGGGAAUCUUUCAAGGAAUGGAGUGCAUAUGGAGCCGGUAUCCCUCUAUUGUUAAAUGGCAGUGACUCUGUAGUACAGUAUUAUGUUCCAUAUCUGUCCGGCAUUCAACUCUAUGUUGAUCCUUCAAAGUCCUCUGCACUAAGGUAAGGAUUAUUCAUAGAUCACCAUAUUCUUAUAUCUAUUCAUUUCUUGCAAUUUUUUUUUGUUUAUUUCCCUUUUAUCCUCAUUGCCUAUAUGAAUUGAAUUUGAUAAGGUAUGUAUUUAUGCUGUUUGGUAAGAAGUAAUAAGAUUGUCCCUGAUUCUAUUUUGUUUUUGUUUUUUUGAGAUCUCAGGCUUUGUUUAGAUUAUAUUUAUAGGAUAGGAAUGCUAGCUUUAUUUUUUCUAAUUUUGAUUGGUGAUUCGUUUACAAUACUAUGAAUGCUAGCUUCAUCUAUUGUUCAGGAUUGUGCAAUAUGUAUAUCUUGUUAAUAUUUAGGUUGCAAGGGUUUUCUUGAUCUUGGAUCUUCAAUUGUGUAUAAAGGAGGAAAGGGGAGUACCUUCUUAUUUUGGGCAAUGGUUUACCUUACAUUUCACUCUUUUUAUGGGUUAUAACUUGCUGAACAUAUCCACUCUGGGUUUAACAAUAUAUGUAUAAAAUUGCUUGGCUGCUGGCUGUUGGCUGUUUUCCCCCCUUCACAUAUUCUUUUCUUCUUUGCACAAGAAAUGUGAUUAACAUCAUUUGUUAUUGAAGAGGCAGCGGUUAUAUGCCCUAAGAUCUGGUCAUCAUUUAUUUUAAUACUAGCCUAUUUUUUCAGUGGUUAAUUCUUUCACCAUCUCAUUGAUCUUUCCUUUUGAUCUUCAUCCAUUAAGCUUUUUUGCCUUUGGUCAUUUAUAUUUUAUUUUUACAAAAAAGCCUUAUUCUAAGUUGUUUUUGUGUUAUAGAUUUAUUAAGAUGGAAAUGAUGUUGUUAUUGUUUUCUGAGCUGGUAAAUGUGGCAAGUAUUAUCUAAAGUUAGGUACAUGAGAGUGGUAAGUGGAUUUCUAAUUUGAUAUUGUAUUUUGUAGUAGAAGGCGUGGUGCAGAUAGUGAUGCUGAGUCAUCAAAGGAAACAAGCAGUGAUGGAAGCAGUAAUUCUGGGGCGGAAAAGAAAACGAAAACUGCCCUUCAGAAUGAGUGGAUACAGGACUUUAAUGUUCCGGGGUCACAAAGAGCUCUUCAGAUGAAUGUACCUUCUUCCGAGUCAUCGAGUGAUGAAAGUGACUCUUGCUACCGUCAUGGUCAGCUUGUUUUUGAAUACUUGGAACGUGAUCCACCAUUUUGUCGUGAACCAUUAACUGAUAAGGUAGGUUUGUUUUUAUUUGGCUUUAGUACAUGAGGGUAUUGCAUUUCAGCCUUCUUGAUAACGAACAUGAACUUGCAUUGAACAGAUCACUGUCCUUGCAUCACGUUUUUCUGAAUUAAAGACAUACAGGAGCUGUGACUUAUCUCCUUCCAGUUGGAUAUCUGUGGCAUGGUUAGUUAUGUCUCCUCCUGAUUACGUUUUAUCAUGAUCCAAUUCUUUUACUCUGACAUAUUUGACUGUUCUCUAAAGGUAUCCAAUUUAUCGGAUUCCGACGGGGCCGACUCUACAAAGUCUAGAUGCUUGUUUCUUGACCUUCCAUAAUCUGUCAACAGCAUUUCAAGGUAUUUCCUCCUUGUUUUCUUAUGUAUAUAGAUACAUAUUUCAUCAAUCAAUUCUUAGUGCUAGUGUAUGCUCUGCGUGCUGCAUUGCUUUUCAGUCAAAUUGAUCUCAAUGCAUAUAUUCAACUACUUAGGUGUUAUUAGAUUGUUUAUCACCUGUUUUAGCUAGCUGUGUUAUGGAAAAGCAUCGGCUGUGGCUGUGAUUCUGUUUUUGUCGGAAUAUUUUUCAAGAAGAAAAAAAGGAGUAAAAAGUUGAGUUUUUGGUAAUAUAUCUGUAGAAAACGUUUUAGGACAAUAUUUAUUUCUCAGCUAAAGCUGCAAUAUGCCUAUAGUGUAAUCAACUCAUAAUCUAUCAUUGGCUUGUGCUAUUAAGUUUUUCAUAAAUUGCAUUUUUAAGAAAGACAUUCAAUGGGCAUCGUGGCUUGUGUUUGGAGCAGGCAUCAGCACGGAUGGUUUACAAUUCCAUUGGCCAAGAGUUAGAGAGGUGUACACUGCAGAUUGCCCUCUCAAACUGCAGUUGCCAAUAUUUGGACUUGCUUCCUAUAAGUUCAAAAUUCCUUUUUGGAAUUCGACUGGUGCAGAGGAAUGUUCGAAGGCUCACUCUUUGUGGCAAGAUGCCGACAGCUGGCUUAGGUUAUUAAACGUAAACCAUCCUGAUUACAGAUUUUUCGCAUCUCAUAACUCAUUCUGGAGAUGAUAACGAAGGAUAUAUCAUGCAUGAUGCAUAAAUGUGGGAUUACAGUUUUAAGUCCAAAGAAACUCGCUUCUCCUGAAUGUCGUGAAAGUUUUAAUAGCAUCUUUGGCUUCCUUUUUUUCUCAAAAGAAAUUCUACUUUGACCACCAUAUAAAGGGUGGUACUGUACAGGGAGAAUGAUGUUGAUAGUAACAUUACGGUUGAAACGGGGGGAUUGGCUUUGGGAUAGAGUUGUUAUUCUUGGAGCGUCAAUCCCCAUAGUAUUCUAUUAGUCUAUUCUUCCAUGUGUUGAGAAAUGAGUGAUGAUGGGAAUAUGGUGGUUGUGGACAGCGGAGAAACUUCUGUCAAAUACCAACACCCCCAUUCUUUUUUUUUUCUUCUUACUUUAAAUUGUGGGUUAGAUUUGUAACUUUCACUGGCACAACGAUAAUGAUGAAAAGUAUAUCUAGUAUUUUAACUGCAAUCUUUGCUGUAUUUAUUAACAGUUAAUUAGAUAAAGGCAAUUGCUGCUCUGUUUGUAAGUGUAUGUUCUUGAAUACAUCUCUUAAUCUGCUUCCCUAGGCUUGAUGAACAUUCUCUAUGGUCAGGAUGUUCUGUAUGGUGUUGGUCAUAUUAGGUCAUCUCCUAAUUAAUAGUUGAUAUUUUGAACUUCUCUAUGAUCAGGAUAGUUGAAAUGACUCAACAAAUAGAUGGCAAUCCUUAUCAAUAUCAUGGUGUCAUAAGUAAGAGUUUGGAACUUGUAUGUUGCGAUGACCCACAAGUUUGAGAUUGAUAUUUCAAGUUGUGAAGUUUGAGAUUGAUAUUUCAAGUUGUGUUGGGUGGAAGCCUUCACUUUCGUUUCGUAUAGGUUGGAUGUGAGCCAUGUUGGGUUGGCUGUACCAUGUGGAUAGUUCUGAUUUUAAUACUAAUCCAUGAGUUGGAUGGAUGUUUGGUUGCAUUUGGUUAUGUGUGUACUUGCUGACCUUAUAAGAGUGUCCCAUUGUCAGAGUUCGAAAAUUUAGGCAUCCAAAUGCUAACCCUAAGUUACAUUUUUCAGUUUCACAAAGUUUCUAUGUUAUUCGAUUUCAUUUGUCCAACUAAAGUGCUUUAGGGAAAGUACUUAAUUACAUAGCUUGUCUUAGUUAAAAACGUUAAAAACUGUUUGAGCUUCGUUGAUUAACUUAGGGCCAGCUAAGUUUUGUGUCUAUGCCCUUGAGUGAUAGGCAAUGGAUAUUGUUUUAUCUUCGUAUAAGUCAUUUAUUUGGUUAAAUAAACUUGACUUUUGGCUUUGGGUAGUUUGAAGUUUGUAUCUGUUUGGCUUGUUAAAAAAAUAGUCUUAUAUUCUUGUUUGGAGUUGGAAUUAGGACGAUUUUUAUGGGUUUACAUAAAAAAAUUCGGAUCGAGAAAUUUAACUAAAGGUUAAUUAAUGUCAUGGCUUUGAAAAAGAACCACUUCCUCUUCCUGGCUCUUAUGAUUAUUUAAUUAAUUAUUAAAACGAGGGUAAUGCAUGCUUGCACCUAAUUUGAUCUAAUUGAAUGAUGAUUUAUUAGUUAGUCAGAUUUAAAUAGUUUCUUUGUUUCGUUACAGUAUGAUGACUUAAGUUGAAUCUCAGGACGAUGUUAAAACUGCAUUUCGUAGGCCUGAAAGUUUGUUGGAUUGCAAUUACAUUACCGUUUUGAUUUUCAGAAAUCUAAGGUUUUCUUGGGCAAGUGAUUGAGUUAUUAUGACUCUUGCAUUCUCAAGUUGUGGUCUUACUAAUCAACUGAUCAAAAGAAAUUAUUUCACAAUAAAUUAGUUCCAUAAUCCAUUACCCAUUUCAAUGCCCAACUACCGUUUAACUAAAGUGACAACCAUAUUUUUCAUUUUGUAUCCUUACAUAUUAUUUAUUUUAAUUUGAACAAUUCUUGGUGAAUUAUGAAGCACUAACAGUAAUAGCUACUUAUGCACUGUCUUAAAACGUGCAUAAUUUAACCAUUAUGAAUAAAGAAUGGACUAUAAAUUUUGAGACCGGAGAUUCAAUCUUCCACAAUAUAAAAGAAUAUACACUAUCAACUAACCAAGACAUUAAAUAUUCAAACAACCACAAGCUCCAAACUUGACAAAAUAUUUAGUUACAACAUAGCAUAAACCCUAACACUGUAAUUCAAAUCACUUGUUCCAAAUUUAUUUAUAUGUGAAAAAAAAAAUCAUUUUGCUCAACGGUAAUUUAAGAGAACAAUCACUAGCAAAUGAAACAAAAUUCUUUGAGAAAUAUUUUAGAUAAUAAAAACUUCAAUUGUUAAUGCGUAGCUCUCGUAGCUCAGUUGGUUAGAGCACCCGUUUAGUAAGCGGGAGGUCUUGAGUUCGACUCUCAACGAGAGCAUAAUAUAUUGCUAUUUUGUUUUAUACAUUUUCAUAAUUCCAUUUUGUGAGGCCCAGCCCACUAUACACACCAUAAACGGGCCGAACCUAAGCCCAAUGCUUAUUUCCAUUUUUUCGGCUAAACAUAGUCAACGAACUAAAACGACAAGUCGACAAAUUCAUUUAAUCAGUAUAUUAUUUUUUCCUUUUUUUUUCUCUCCUUUUGAAAUGAAAACAUUUUAUUUGUCUUUUUUGAGUACAAGAAAUGACAGCUCAGCAUCAUGAAAUGAUGAAAAUAUGCAAACAUUAAUAAUUGAGUUGAAGGGUAAUGCAUAGACAUUAUCACACACAUUACAACUAAGAAACCAUUGGCUACCAUUUUUAUGAUUCAUAAUCAAAGAUUCCCCAAAUCCCUUCUUGAUCUUUGCAAAACCAAGAAAGAGUGCAUGCAUGGCAUGGCAUAACAUGGUCACCCAAUCCACUCCAAUCAUACCUUUCUUCACAUUUUCCUCCCUUUUUUGCAUGGGUGUAUCAUAUAAUUAUCCCGACCUUCGAGAUAAUAUAGUGUACUAUUUUUUUCUUUCAUCCCUUCUUAACUACUACACAAUCGUGUAGUAGAGAUGAAUUUUUUAAUUCUGUCUAGAUUAAAGAAAUAGAAUAUGAUUUCUUUUGUUGUGAUGUAGAGAACUUCUUGGGUGAUCUUUUCCAAAAAAAAAAAAAAAAAAAAAAAAAACCAUAAGAACAUAUAUGUAAAGUCAACUCUUACCCCAUAACGAAAGACUUGACAACUCAUUUUUAAAAAUUGUGGACAAUCUCACUCUUCUUUUGUUAACUAGGACAAAGUCGAAAUCUCAAAUCCGUAUAUGUAUUUGGUGUGUAAAUCUAAACAAACUUAUUUUUUCUUAUCGUCCGAUUGUUAGAGAACUCGUACUAAAUUAGGUUUUGAAACUUUCCUUUCUCGACGAAUGAGAUAUUGUCGAAAACUUUGUGCAUAAGUAAAAUGGGAGCUGUUCUAGGAUAAAAAGGGGGGCAAAAGCUAGAAAGAAGCAAUGAGAAGGACCAUAAGCCAUAAAUGGUGACAAUGAGAGAGGAAAAAUAAAUAAGGAGAAAAAAAAGAGAUAAGGAAGAAGAAGAGGGGAGAAGAUAAUAUGUGUUAAUAUGUUUUAUACAUUGAAGUAGUUAUGGUGAUUGUUGAGGAAUGGCAAAAGUUGUUGGCAAGAGAGGAGGCAGAGGACUAAACCCUUUUCAAGAAAAAAACAAGUUCUAAGGUCUAAAGAAAUGUGCAAAUUUAGAUUAUGGAAAUAAUAAUAACAAUAACAAUAAAUAAACAAAUAAUGUUUAAUAUAAUGAAUUAUAUAAGUAUAGGGUUGCAAGGCUGGCAAAUGGGUUUUUAUUUUAUUAUAUUUGGAGUUUAGUGAAUAGAAAAAUUUGAAAAAUGUGGAUUUUGAUGGCUAAAGGCCAAUGGACCCUCUCAUUGCCUUUUUCUUACUUCACACGUAGUUUCCAAUUUCGCUUUCAAUUAUUCUUCAAAAAAGAAAAUUUGAAAAUUUGAAAAAACAAAAAGCAAAAUGAAAUUAUACUUUCUUUUUCUUUUUCUCUUUCUCUUGUAUUGAUAAUAAUCUCACGUGCUCAAUUAUGCAUUUCCCUUUUCCUUUUCUUCAACCUAUUUGCAUUCCACAACUCCUUAAACCCUAACCUGCUUGCCUUCUAACCAUUAUUUGUGUUUUCUAUUAUAUCUCUGCACAGUUCGUAUCUUUUCACAACUAAAUCACAAAUUUUAGCCAACAAAUUUAGGUAAAUUUAUUCACUUCACUUUAAUUUCUAGUUUGGAAAAUGAUAGUAGCAUGUUUUUUAUGAUAGAAUAUAUUACUUUUUCUAUGCAAGUGAUACCCUCAAUACUCUACAAUAUCAACAAACUCUUUACUUUCUAGACUAAAUCCAAGUUCAACAAAUUUUUAAAUACAAGAAAAGUUUUAUGGGAAAAAAAGUGUUGAGGUAAUAUAGAAAUUAAUUAAGGAUGUAAUCUGAGAGGAACAAUCGCAUAGGGUUUUAAAUAAAGUUGGCACUUGAGCACUAUACAUUAGAAAGAAAAGAAAUGUUUUAAGAAAGCUUAUGUAUGUAAUAGAGCCUAGUUUUAGGUGUGAGAUAAUAAGAUCCUAAUAGUGUUGUUGGUCAUUUGACCAUAACUAAUUUAGACCAAAAUUUUGUUGACCCCAUGAUAGUUAUGGCCUAAGUCCUAACAUGGGUGGGAUCAUAUUUACCUACCCCAUGUGAGUUCAAAGAUAGCCUAGUUCAAGAUUCAAGUAAGACCACCCUAUUCGAUGGCCUAAGCGAUUAAUUUAGUCGGUUUCUAGUACAUACCUUUAAAGCUAGAAACACUAGAAUUCACAUCUAAAUAUUAAUAUUAACCGAUUUUAUGACUAUAGAUUCAAAAUAGAAGUACUAGAUUUUGUUAUCACACUCUAUACACUCUAUCCUAUGUGCUACAACACCAACUUAAUUACACAAAAAUUGUAGCAAUUACGUCACAACCUAUUUAUGAUCACACAUAAUAUAAUGUACACACUAUAUUAUUGAAACAUACAUAAACUCAUUUCAAAUUGACUCAAACGUAUGAUGAAAUAUUAUUUUACAAAUAUCACAUGUUCUUAAAUGCCAAAACUAUAGGUACAGGGGUUUGCAAAAAAUGACAAGAAAAAUUAUGAUAAUAAAACUCAUGUCGCUACAUAUUUUAAAUUACAAAAGUAGUAAAUUUAAAAGCACAUAGUCAUUUGAUAAUUAUUUGAUAUAUCUAAUUACUUCUCGUAUUUCUAAUAUGCAAAAAAAAAAAAAAAAAAAAAAAUACCAUGAAGUAUUUCUUUUUUCAAAAAUAAUUUAUCAUUAGAUAUAAUUUUCUACACAUAUAUAUAAAUUCUUGAAAGAAAGAGUGCUUAUUUCUUCAACAUUGUUGCUCCAAUACAAUAUUUAUUUUUCCUACCCUAACAAUACAUUUUAUGAUGCACAUGACUAAUUUACUCCAACCAACUCUAUAAACACAAUAAAUAUUAAGUCGUUUCAUUUUCAAACCAAUAAUGAAAAUGGUGCAUUCAGGUGACAUAAUAGCAUACAAUUUAAUUUCUAACACUUGGAUACAUAUAAUUACAUGAUAAAGAAGGCAAGAAUUCAAUAAGUUUCAUUAACAUAUCAACAUUUUCCUUCAUGUUUUACAUCAUAUUAUGAAUUCAACGUUAACCUCAAGAGUCAAUAUUAUAGAGAUUCUAUUAUUUUAUAAAAAAUUGACAAAACAUAAUAAAUAAUUAUCAAUAAAAUAAUGUUAAAUAUGAUAUAAAUAACAAAAACAUUUAAACCACUUCUUUUAUGAAUAUUUUUAUAAGCGUGAGACAUCAAUAUAAUUUUUUUUAUCAACAUUUUAAAUUUUGUAUGAGACAAAUCAAAAUUUAAAAUAUGAAUGUUGAUAAAAAAUGUUAAAAUUUCAAUAGAAAAGAUAAAAUUAAAUCAUCUAAGUUUGUGUAUAUAAGUAGCUCUUAUUUUGUUUGUGUUUGAAUGAUUUUUGAAGAAGUAUAAGGAAAAUAUAAUUUUUUGCUAAAAUGUAGAAAUAUGGAUAUGGAAAGAAAAAGGAAACCCAAAAAUUGAAAACAGAAUAGGAAAGAGAAGGAUAAGGGUGAGUUUGUAUGGUUUAGAUAUGGAUGAACCUCAAGAAAAAGAAAAAGGGUGACGUUCACACGGAGGGUUGUGUUGUUGACGUGGACCCUUCAAAGUACUUGCAUGAUUCCGCUCCAAAUGGACGGCUGUGAUGAGAAGAAAAGUACUAAAUUGUCAUUUUCCCAUUUUGGCCUUUCGGAUGGCACCGACUGAGCCUUUGUGUUCUUCGACGACGCACGUGCCAACCAAGUGGGCCUUUUCUUUAUGCAAAACGGCGGAGCCCAGCCCAAAUAGUUUUACCUUUGGCCCACUUAUUUUGUUUCCGUCUUUGUACGUGUGGUCCGUCUUACCACCUACGUCGUCCCACACGCCUCUUCCAUAUUAUUAUUGUUAUUCUUUUAACUUAUUCAUACCCUACCAUUAUUACUCUUUCAGGUGUCUCCCAUUAUAUCUUUUUCUUCAUUCUUUAACCCAACUCUAAUUAACACUAACUUUAACCUUUUUAUUAUUUUACAAUCUCAUCUACUUUAACAUUAUGUCACUAUGCAUGUUUUCAAGGUUGACUUUGACCCUUUUUUUUUUCUUUUCUUUUGUCUAACCUAACCCCACAACCCCAAAAGAGGAAACACCCCUUAGUUAGGAUGAUCUACUUCGUUAUAUAAUAACGUUGAUUAUUUUUCUAUAGCGUGAGAAUAUAAAGGACAAAUGAGGUGGAUAAGUACUAAACAAAAUGAAAUGACACAAACAACAUACUUUUGUAUGGGCCAUAUGUAAAAUUCUAUUUAUAGGAUUUUGAUAUUUUAUCCAAUCCCCAUCUUGUUAUGUUAUGUUAUUUGUUUAUCAAAUGAAUCGAUGUAUAUAAGGUAAGACUUAAAAAUGUUUAAAAAAAAAAAAAGAAGGGUGUAUAGUUAGAGUAAAAGAAAAGAAUGGGGGAGAGGGAAAAUGGGAAUUAGGAAAUGGUUUAGGGUUUAGAUAUUGAAAAAAGUGGUAAGGAGAAAGGUUGGGGAGGUGGGAGAGAAAAGCAGUUCUCAAAAUCACCUGAAAUCCCCCAACCAAAUGAAACUAAAAGCAGCAAUUGCACGCUCACUCCCACUUUCUUUAAUACUCGCGCCCGCGCGUGGCCUUUCUCUUCCUCAAAAGCACAAACUUCUUAUUUCCCUCUUCCCCAUUUUUCUAUUCCUUUCUUUUCUUUUUCUUUCUUCAAACAAAUUACAAAUACUAUUUAUUAUGAGUUAGUGUUUUAGUUAUAAUAACAAUCUCAUACUCACUAUUAUUUAUAAGAAUUGAUGAAUGUUUUGAUAUUUGAUUUAUUUGACAUUAAUUGUUACACGUUUAGGGACCUAUUUGAUACCUUAACAUGGCUUUAACCCACUCCCUGUAUUUUUUUUAUUUUUCUUUUUACUUUACUUGUUUUUGUUGUAUGGUCAUUUAAGGGCAGACUACAUAAUUCAUGGGUAAGAGGCAAAGAGAAAGGUGAAAGGAAUAUACAGUUUGCCAGUAUAUAUUUAAACAAAAAAACAAGAACUUUACAAAAAGCUCACUUCUUUUCUUGCAAUUCAACUCCAAUACAUACACACACACACACACACAAUAAACAAAUACCCAACUGCCCAUUAUUUAUUUCUCCCCCUUUUCCCCCUCUUACUUUCAACUUUCAAAACUACCAAAAUAUAUAAUAAUAAUAACAACAACAACACAUUACACCACCACAUAACCCAAAACAAUCCCUCAUUGUGUUUCACGAGAUGAUAAGUGCAACGUGUCACAUUAUGAGUGGCUUAUAUGGUAGAUGACAUGGCAUCAUGAGCCCCCCCCCUCCCCCCCAAGAAAAAGAGCAUUGGGGGGGAGCUUCAAAAGCAGUGCAUGAGGAGACUGUAAAAAGGGCAAAAAGGGAUAGAGUUGGGGUUUUGGAGUUUGUUUUGUUGGUAUCAUAAUUUAUAUAUAUAACUCAACAAUUCUCCCAUUCCCCCAAUAUAUAUAUAUACACAUACAUACAUAUAUUAUAAGGUCCUUUUUUGCAAUUUAUGGGACACUUUAAAAAAGGGGAUAUCAGAAGGACUUCAACUUCCUUGGGGCCUUUCUUGCAAUAAUGAGAUUAAUGUAGCAUAUUAUUAUUGCUUAUCCUUUGACUUUUUGGUCAACUUUAAAACCCCCCCUCCCACUUUUUUCCUCUCUUGCAUGAUAUAUUACUAUAGAGUAUAGGGUAUAUAUACUCUUGAAUGAAAAUUUUUAUACUUUAAUUAUUAUAGGUUUUCCAUAUGAUCUAUGUACAAUAUAUUGUAUUGCCUUUUUAUGAAUGAAGGUAUGUUGUAAUACAGAAGUUUCUAUAUAUAUAAAAAAAGGAAAUGUUUUUAGUUUUCCUCUUUUUAAUUUGGUUUAUUUUGUUGUGAUGGAUUGAUAAAAAAAAAGAGUCUAGGAUGGUGACAACUUUCAAUACUUUUUUUUGUAUGAUACUUUCAUUUUCGUGGAAGUAGGUAUUUUUAUAAAUAAAUCAUUAUAGUUAUGACUUUGGUGAAUUGUUUUUUCUUUUUCAAAAUUAUUGCUAUCAAAUUACUAUCAUUUUCAAUGUCUAUUUUUGUCUUAAAGGUAUUUGGGUUUAUUUAGUUGAAAAUGGGUUUAAAGUAACUCAUUCACAAUUACCCUAAAUAAAAUGGGUUUAAAGAGAGAAAAAAAAGGAGAUAAAUUAAAUGAUAUUUAGAUAUUUUAUUUAGGGUAAUUGUCCAGGUGUUAAGUACCACUAAUAAUUAAGUGUAUAUAACUAUACAUUUUUAAUUAUAUAUAACUAUAGCAAAAUUUAUUAGUAAUAAAAUAUAUUAAAGAUAGACUCCUAUUCGUGGUAGAUUUUAUUGUUAAUAGACUUCUAUUAACAAUAUAUAGUCACCAUUGAUAGAAUCCAAGAGAUGAAUAUCUAAGUUUUGCUAAAUUUACAAAUUCUUUUGACUAGAUUGAUGCAUUUGUAGUUGCUUUAAUCUAGUCAAAAUAAUAUUAUAAACAUACAUAAUUAUCCCUCAUAUAAUUUAUUAAUUUACUAAUACGGGUGUUAGGACACAUUGAAUUUAUUAUUUGAUGCUUCGAAUGAACAAAUUCAUAGGUUCUUAUAUUUACGUUGUUUCUCGCAUAGGCGAGUCACUACCAUCUAUAAUUUCUAUCUAACAAAAAGUUGCUUCUUCAAUCUUUUUGUUUAUGUACAUAGCAAACACAAACACAAACACAACUUUGAUGUCAAUUUUCUUGUGAUAUGUUUGAUAGUUAAAUACCUUUAGGUUAUGAACAUUUCUUUUUCUUGAUCAGUAAAAUUAAUAAGUUUAAAUUCAAUUUACAAAUCUACACAAAACAAAUUAGCCCAAUAUAACUUGAAGAAGAAAAGUCUCUUUUGAGUGUACUUUAUAUUUUCAAGAGAUCAUAUGAAUUACUGUUCCUUUAUUAAUCAUGUAGCAUAUUCCUAGGAACUUGUUCUAUAUUUUAACUUAAAUUAAAGCAUAUAUAUAUAUAGAUGCUUUUUCAACUUUGCUCUUAAAAUAAAAAUGAAAUGAAAUAAAAUAAAAUAAAAAUUCAAAGGGCAUAUAUUUAAUUUUAUUUUUAUAUGAAGGGGAAAGCUUUGAAAAAUUAUUGUAUGUAGGAGUAGUUUGUAGACCUAGACCCUAUAUAUACUUAUCUAAGAAUUUUGUGGUAAGCUUGAAAUAAUUAUGAGGAUUAAAAUCUUUUGUAAUAAUGUAUAGGAGAAUUGGAAACUCUAUAUCUCUUCCAAAGAAAAAAAAAAAAGUCUAAUGGUUGUUAAAGUAUGCUUCAAUUGAACCUUAGAAUAUAUAAGAAAUAAAUAUUUGAUCAACUUCAACCUUCAAACUUUGCAAUUCUUUCUUUCUACAAGGAAGGAAGUAAGUUUGGCUUACAAAUUUCUUUAGUUCUUGUUAGAAUAUAAAAUGUCAAUUGAACUAAGUUCAUAUAAUUAGGCUAUCAUAACAAAUUCCAUAAUCCAUUAUCUAUGGAGAUGUAAAUUUGCAAAGAUGUUUUGAAGGGUGAAGGUUGAAAAUCUAUUAGAAUAACCCUAUGGGCUACUAUAGGAUGAGAUAAACAUAUCUUUUAUAAGAAAUUUUAUAAAAACUCAAUAAAAAAAAACACAUGAACUUAGUUGUAUUUAGUUUAGUUCGACUAAAUUUUUAUCUAGAGUUUCAGAUAUUGUUGAACUGCCAAAGAGAAAUUAACGCGCAAUAAAAAAAUUUUGUAACUAAAAUUUUGAAAGUAGAAAGAUCACAAUAUGAUGAUUGAUAUUAACAUGACUAAAAAACAUAGAAUCUAGUUACUUUUAAUGAGACAUAUUCUUUUUGAAUUCAUAAAAGCGAGCUUGUUGGAGCUUAUCUCGAUGUCCUGUGAAAUUAGAUAAACGUCGACGAGGGAGAAAAAGAUGAAGAGAGAGGUAGUGUUACUCUUAUAUGUCAAAGAUGCUUCCUUUUAGGUGGCCAUCAAAGGCUUGGUGCUGAAACUUAUCUUAAUAUAUAAUAGAAUAGAAUGUUUAUUGUUGUUCUCAGUUGGGUUGCAAUUUUUGUUCUCUCUUAAUACUACAAAAGAAAAAGAAGAAUACUGUGGAAGAUUUGAAAUUUUUGAGAGCAGAGAGAAUAGAGUUUAAAGAGUAGAUUUUGGUAUGUGGGUUAGUUAAUCUUAAUCCUAUGUGAGCUGGAUCCACUCUCCCAGGAGUGACCCACUUUGAAUAAAAUAUUUCGAUAACCCAAUGAACAACGAGCCCCUAAAUAACUGAGAAAUCCCAGCUCCAACUAGGAAAACAGGGUUCUUCAACCGUUCUGCUCCAAUCUCUAAGAGCUGUAUAUAAAAAAAUUUCUCUUUCAAAAACCCUUUUUUCUUAUUCUUUCUCUGAUUUCAGUUAAACCCCAGAUGGAUUUUCUUAAUUUUCCCACUUUUUGAGUCCAAAGUUAAGUGGGAAAUGCAGCUUUCUCAAUUUUGGGUGUUUUUCUUGCUUUUGUUUGUUUGAGAUUUGGGGUAUUCAAGGGUAAAUCUGAAUCAAGUUGAGGGAUCGAUGUCUACGGCCAGUUCCAGUUCUGUAAGGAAAGCUGGUGAAGCUGUUCCCGACCAGUUUCCAGCCGGCCUUCGUGUUUUGGUUGUGGAUGAUGAUCCAACUUGUCUUAUGAUCUUGGAGAAGAUGCUUCGUAUUUGCCGCUAUGAUGGUAAACUUUUCAAUUCCAAGUUAUGUAUUUCUUGUUUCUUGGUCAUGGAAUCUCUCAAAUCUGUGUUAUUCACUUUGUUUUUGAAGUACCCAAAUGCAAAAUUGAUAGUUUAUUGGAGUCUCUGAGUGAAAUUACUGUCAUUUCUUUUAUCAUUUGUUCUGCUUUUUUUUUUUUUUUUUCUUGAGUUUCAAUUUUGGAUGUGAGAGUUUAUUGUGUACAUGAGAUUUGGACACAGGGUUUGGUUUAGUUUUCAACCACCCCCCUCCCCCCACUCUCUCUCUCUCUCAAGAUUUUAUUGAUUUAAGAUCGUGAGUUUCUUUGAAGUUUAUGAGUUUACUCUAAUUUUGACUCGUUUGCAUAUGCUAUCUCUCUUUUGAGUUGCCCAUAUUUGAAUUAGGAAAUGCGUCUAUCGUUUGGUUAGCCGUCUUUAUCCAGAAGUUGUGUUGUCAUGUAAAUGGUAAACCAUUAAUGGACAAGCUGUAUUGUUUUUGGGUGUUUCAGUAACAAAUUGUAGUCGAGCAGAGGACGCGCUCUCUCUACUCAGGCAGAACAAAAAUGGGUUCGAUAUUGUUUUGAGUGAUGUCCACAUGCCAGACAUGGAUGGAUUCAAACUUCUGGAAUACAUUGGAUUGGAAAUGGACCUGCCUGUAAUUAGUAAGGAAUACAUUUUGUUGAAUUUCGAGUUCAUAAUACUGAAUGAUGUAGCUUGAUGAACUGGUUUCUAAUGAUGGGACUUUGUGUAGUGAUGUCGGUGGAUGAUGGGAAAAACGUUGUCAUGAAGGGAGUGACUCAUGGUGCUUGUGACUAUUUAAUAAAACCUGUUCGAAUGGAAGCGCUGAAGAACAUAUGGCAGCAUGUUGUUCGCAAGCGGAAGAAUGAAUGGAAGGACUUGGAGCAAACUUGUGUUGACGAUGUAGAUCGGCAGCAAAAAACAAAUGAAGAUGCAGAUUAUUCAUCAUCUGCUAAUGAAGGUAGUUGGAGGAACUCAAAGAGGAGAAAGGAUGAUGUAGAAGAUCCGGAGGAGAGGGAUGAUUCAUCAACCCUAAAGAAACCGAGGGUCGUUUGGUCUGUUGAGCUCCAUCAACAGUUUGUGGCUGCUGUUAAUCAACUAGGAAUUGAUAGUAUGGAUCCUUCUCUCAUCUUCUCUUGCACUCUACUGUUUCAUUUAUGUUUGAAUGUAUGUCUGUAGAGAAAAUUGUAAACGAUUUCUAGGGAGUUAGGGAAUAUUUCAAACUUGAAACUAUUUUGCUCUAUCAACCCUCGCUUUGUCUUCUGGGUUGAAAUACUGAUAAAAAAUCAUGGCAUCAUUGACUCCAUUGAUGAAAUUCGAUAUUUGGCUUUAUGAACUUUUAAUUGAGUUUUAGCAUAUGAUUUUAGGUUUUUUGAGUUUAAGCAUACAUUUUUAUAAUUUCUUUUAAAUUUGUGGUAAGCCGUUUCUUACCUUUGUAAAAUACAAUCUAUAAUUACAGAGGCUGUUCCCAAGAAGAUUCUGGAGUUGAUGAAUGUCCCUGGACUCACUAGAGAAAAUGUUGCCAGCCACCUUCAGGUAAGGAUCAACCUAGAAUUGUGUUCAUUUUCAAGACUGCUUGUCUAUCCUAUUUCUGUAGCUUCUCUCCACACGACACUUUCUCAUGAGAUUCUUAGUAACACUGCACCUUUAAUGUAUAGAAAUACCGCUUGUAUCUGAGAAGGCUAAGUGGAAUCACACAACACCAGAGUAAUUUAAACAACACAUUCAUGAGUGCCCAAGAUGCAUUUGGCCCGCCACUGAACGGCCUUGAUCUACAAACUCUUGCUGCUGCUGGUCAACUCCAGCCACAAAGCCUUGCUACACUUCAAGCAGCUGGAUUUGGUAGGUCUACAGCAAAAUCUGGGAUGCCUAUGCCUCUUGUGGAUCAAAGGAACCACAUUUUUAGCUUUGAAAAUCCAAAGUUGAGAUUCGGUGAUGGGCAGCAGCCACAUUUGAAUGGUAGUAAACCAAUGAAUCUACUUCAUGGAAUUCCGACAACUAUGGAGCCAAAACAACUUGCUAAUCUCCAGCAUUCGGCACAAUCUCAUGGGAACAUGACAAUGCAAGUUAGCAUCCAAGGAGGCCAAUCUAGCUCUCAACUAAUGCAGACACCUCAACCACAAGCUCGAGCGCAGAUCCUUAACGAAAGUACCACAACUAGUGUAACAAGGCUUCCACAAACAAUGCAGCCCUCAAUUUUGCCUAAUGGGACUACUAGUGCAGUUUUAGCAAGGACUGAAUUUGGCAAUAACAACAGAGGUGGAGGAUACAAUCUAGUUUCACCAGCUUCAACAAUGUUAAAUUUCCCUUUGAACCAAACUGCAGAAUUGCCUGGUAACAGUUUUCCUCUUCAAAGUACCCCAGGAAUGUCAAGCAUCGUACCAAAGGGAAGAUUUCCAGACGAUGUUAACUCGGACAUUAAAGGAUCUGAAGGUUUUGGGCCAAGCUACGACAUGUUUAGGGAUCUUCAUCCCCAGAAACCCCAUGAUUGGGACUUGCAGCAUGUAGGCGUGACCUUUGAUACAUCUCAAGGUAGUCUCGACAUUCCACCCUCUGCUUUUUCUCACCAAGGGUAUGCCUCUAGCCAACAAAAUGGACAAAACAGGAACACGUCUACAGCAGGCAAGGCCAUGUUCUUGUUGGAAGAAGGAAGUGACAAUGGGAAUGCACAAAGUAUGGGGCAACAACUCAACCCUAUUUUCGUUGAUGGUUCAGUGAGAGUUAAAUCUGAAAGAGCUUCUGAUAUUAGCAGUCAAACAGACCUUUUCUCUGAACCCUUUGGUCAGGAGGACCUAAUGAGUUCACUUUUUAAGCAGGUUAGAUUGCAGUACCUUCUUUGUAUUUCCUUCACCCCUACCCCGGAUUCCACGGUGAUGAAAUUCGGUAAGCUUAAUGUAGUUGUUACUAAUAUUAUGGUAAAUAUUUUAUUUGACAGCAACAAGGAAGCAUAGCAACAGCUGAAAGCGAAUUGGAAUGGUUGUUUCAUCAUAAUACUCCUGUUUAGAAUAUUGCUUUAGCUUGGCAGUCAGAGUAUGCCCAUUGCUUAAAUUUGGUAAGAGAAGCAUGUGGUUUAGAUGAGGAUGGACCUUUCAAUUCAGCAGACAGACCAUUUAGACAGAUCACUCUAGCUGUAAUAUUCUGAAGCACAUUUAGCACUAAAGCAUACUAUGCAAAUUGCAUAUGUGCAAGAUUCUUUCGACUGAUUCCACAGAGAGACUAACUCAAGUCUAUUUGUGGAACUGGCCAUUACUGCGGUGCUCUUGACGCAUGGAAUCGAGAUUUUUGACGCAAUUGCAGGUUUUAGGAACCCUCCCCUUUAUGACUCCAAUAACCUACUGAAAUAAUACUCUUUCUAUGUUCAAAGCAAUUGCAGCUCACUUUCAUGUACAUAUUCUGUUAGAUGGUACAAGAAACAAUCCUAGAAAUACUCGGUUAUCCCGUUUGUAUUCCUAAAAUUUUGAGAUUGUCGUUAAUACGUCGUUGCCGUUUAUAUUUUUGUCUUUUUAGUUUCAGCCAUUUCUCUAGAUAUAUAGGCUCUAUUUUCAGAUCAAGAUGGUGAUUCUCAUGUUGAAGAACUUUCUGCAUAAUGUGAAAGCAUAUGAUGGAUAGGUUAUUUUAUCCUAUGGAUUCUGUAUAAGAGUAUUUAAGUUCAAGCUGGUAAAUAGUAUAUGAUAUGUAAUGUAAGGCAUCUUUGUUUGGAUGUUUUGUUGAUGGACAAGAAAAUGAAGUUGUCAUUUUUUUUUUUAAUAUUCAUUUGAACUGAAACUGAUUCAAGUCUUAAAAUUUGAUAUACUCAUCAUCUUUUUUAAUAUUCACAAACUAAUAAAAAAUUUGAAAGUUCACACAAAUUCAGCUUUAUGUUCAAUUAAUUAAUUGUAAAAGUUGGUCAAUAUGACCAAAAAAAAAAAAAAAAAUUGAACACAAAAUUAAAAUUUUUAAAAAAAAUUGAAGUAAAAAAAAAAAUCAAAAUUUAGAGUCAUUAAAUACUUUUUAAAGUUCAAUGAUCCUAAAAAUUAGGGAUUAAAUUAAGUUCAACCAAAUCUUUUC